RNAcentral lists this long non-coding RNA (61565 nucleotides) under Prunus persica (peach). RNAcentral's name for it is "long non-coding RNA (PPER_LNC001442)". Lineage: Eukaryota; Viridiplantae; Streptophyta; Magnoliopsida; Rosales; Rosaceae. The record is from RNAcentral.
UUUUUUUUUUUUUGGGGGUUUGAGAAUGGCUGGCUUUAAUUUUAAGAGUAGCAUUGUGCAACCCAUAAAAAAGAAAGUCAAAGAAACAUAGCACAGGAAGAGGAGCCACAGCAAAUAAAAGGAUUGUGAUGUGACAACAAUUCAAGUAAUUUCCUUGGUGUUUAUAUUAUCGAUAUACAAAGAGUGUUCCAUUCUUAAGAAGCACAGCAGGUCAUAGUUAGCAUAACUUGUUCAUUUCAGCCUUUGAACUGCUAGCAUGGCUUGAGUUUCCUCAUUCCACAUGUGAAAAACCCCCACCUUCAGCCUUUGUCCUGCAAACAAGCACACAAUUGACAAACAACAAAACCACAUACAUCAGUUCUUUUCUCCACUGGUAAAUAGUCUCAAAUUCUUUCGACAAGACAUGAAACUCUACAUUUUUUUUACUGAUAAACCCACAAAAAGUAACCCACAUUUCUUUGAAAAAGACCAAAUUUUCCGUUCCUCAAGGAUAACGAAAGCUUACUUGUGAUCGGAAGGAUUUGGCCUGAGUUCAUAAACAAUUGUUGCAACAACAUCCCUCUUCAACUGUUCAUCAAAGAAAAGAAAAUGAUGUAUUAGUUAUUUGCACAAUUAACGCAACAGAAUAUGCUCAUAUGGAAUGAAAUUACCUGAGUAGCCUCGCCUUUAAAGCCAAUGUACUCUAUCUUAGUUGUAUCACCACCAAAACUAUCAGGAAAAUGCAAUGUGAUGCUGGCCACGUUUUGAAACUUGGAAUACCUAAUUAUACGGAGAAAUGUUACAUUAGAGGGAUAACAGAUGGUAAAAUAAAAAUCAAACAAAACAAAAAACAACAAAAGAACUCAUUUCAGUGGCAAUUCAAAGUAAUUUACCGUCACUGUUCAAUUUGAAAAAGAAUAAGGUUUCUUUCAUUGUGCUCAAGUUUUAUAGUUUUCAUGUUCUAGAAAAUUAAACAACAUGGUUUUUGAAGUAGUAGUACUCCAAAAGGCAGUGAAUAAAUACCUUGUCUGGUACUCCAACACUCCUUGAAAAUUUUCGACCAAAUCCCACUCCUUAAAACAAUAAGAACACAUGUUUCAAGGCUGAAACGUUGAAUUUUUUCAAUUAACUCUUGAACAAGCUAAUAUGAAAGCAAUACCUGAAUGGCUUGCAUUCCUUGAACAUCUGAAAAGUCAAUGCCAUCUCGGUUGAUGAACCUAAUUAAGCAAUGCAGUCAUGUUUUUAGUUUUUUCAAAUAUAAAAAAUGUGAUCGAUAUUGAACAUCUGUCAAAGACUGAUUUGAUAUUUAUUUUGUCAGAAUCAUAUAGAACAAGACUCGUGAUCAGUACUAUUAAAGUUUGAACUUACACCCUCAUCUUGCUAGGACUUGUUCCGUCAGCACCGCCAAUAAUUGAUAUGCUCUUGAUCUUGACAUCUGAUGUAAAUCUAUCACAAAUAAAUGAAAAAAAUAUAGCUCAAUCAGAAUGUAAAGAAACAACAUCAAAGAUGACUUCAUCUAAUAAGUUGGUGUCAGAAUGGUAUGCUUUAAGAAAACUUAUCAAGAUGCCGACCAAAUGUUUGAACAAUAAAUACAACUAUAUUAAGCAUCAGAUAUAGGAGAUGAGCACAAGACAAAAGGAUAAUUAUAAAUGACACACAAAUUAACAGUUGUGUUUUGCUUUAGGUGUACCUGGAGAUGCUACUAAGGUUGAAUCCCUUACUCAAAACUCAUACAAACCCAACUAUGGAGAUCUAACAAAAUCAGACACAUAUUAUCAUUGUAAUUGAAUGAAAAGAUGGAAAAAUGUGUAAAAGUACUCAACCAAUGGAUCUACCUGAUCCCAUGCAUUUCGUAAUUAUGCAGUCUAUAACUCAUUUCAUGAAGAUAUCACAUAAAACAACAAGACGGGACACUCACGGAAUGUAAACAAGUAACUCGGGAUCACCCUCAUUGCUCUCCAAGUGUUCCUGUUGCAGAAAGUAGAAUCAAAAUGAGGCUUCAUAUGCCUAGUAAUUGAACAUAAAUUACAACCAAAAUAUAAGGUAAACCUGAACUAAAUCUCAAUCAAUGAUUCCUACAAAUUUUCGUAAAUGUCAUUCUGAGCUUUCAAGUAGAUUAACUUAUGAAGUUUGGAUCAUUACUUUUAACAAGGACGUAUAGAGAAGUAAAUAGAUAGCUCAUUACCCCAGUAGAAUUCAGCCGUUGCUCCCAAGCUUUAAAAACCGACUUGACACUUCCUGGAACCGCCUCAUUCAAAGCCGAAACCUAAAAACAGAAUAAGACAUUCUCUCAAGGAGAACACGUCAUCAUGUCAAUCAGCAAGAGGAAGCUCCAACGAAAUAUUAAUUUACAAAAUAACAAAGUGUGAAAAUAUUGCAAAGUAUAAAUCACCCCACAUCAACAAUCAUCAAUUACCAGUCAUAUAGCCACCCACAACCAAACUGCCCAAACCACAACACACAAGCACCCGUCUCCCAAAAAAAAAAAAAAAAAAGUUUCUAAACAUUUCUGGAAACUAGCAAUAACAGCAUCUGCAUGGAGUAUCAUUAACAAAGCUUCAUAUCCAACUAUUUUCAUUUACAACCAAGAAGCCUACACAUAAGAACCAUUAUGCUUACGGAUAAAUGCUUAUGAGAUUCAGCAUUUGAGCUUGAGGGUUUAUGUUGAUCACUGUUCUUUCAACUAAUUUUCAUUUGGGCACUUCCAGAUAAAACCAAAACAAUCACAAAAUGGGAGCAGACUGAAACGUACCAGUAUACGCAGAGCAGCAGUGUGAUAGCUAACAACGAAAACAUAGGAAUAGAAAAAUUAAGACUGAGCAAAGAAAAAGGCAGAGAAAUAGGACCUUGGGGAGGUCUAUAUGCUUGUAGAGAGACCAAUCAGAAGAACAAUCAUGCUCUUCGCAGCUGUGGUCAUGUAAGCAAGCCAUCUCUCUCUUUCCCUGGAUCACCAAAUUUCUAAGAAGCAGCACAAAAAGGCGAAGAAGAAAUAGAAGCAACCAGAAAUAGGGAGCGAACCGUGGCUUUUUCUGUGCAUAGUGCCGAAAAGGCCCUUGUAUCGGUACAAUAAAACGCACCGUUUACCUGUACAUAUAUGUCCUUUUAGGCUUUUACUGUGAAAUGCAAACGAGACUGUUUUCGCAAAACUUUCUUCUUUGCUUUCAUUUGGGAAGUUCAGCUCUGAGCUCUGUGAGAGAUGGAGGAAAUAGUAGAAGGGGACGGGUCGGGUGCGGGCAGAUACACGCUGAGACCAACGAGGCUAAGCAACGAGGACAUUCUGUUCUGUAUAGAUGUUGACCCAGAGUCUAUGGUGGAGAUGAAAGCCGCGAUGGGCCCAAAUGGGCGACCUUUAACCCGCUUGGACUCGAUCAAGCAAGCCAUACUUGUCUUCAUCAACGCCAAGCUCACCAUCAACCCAGAGCACCGAUUCGCCUUUGCCUGUCUCGGAAAGUCCGCGUCUUGGGUAGGUUCUCUCUGUUCAUCUCUCUCUUUAUUGCUUGGUUUCUGUUCGGUUUCCGAGAAAAUUUGCGAUCAAGGGCAGAGGAUUUUAUGGUUAUUAUGUGUUUUUUAGGAAUUGAACUCCUGGAAACCAUGAUUAUGGCUUUGGGUCAUAGUUUUGAGGUUUUUUGUGAUAUAUACGGUUAUGGGUAGAUUAAAAUUUUCAUUUGCAGGAAAUGUAAGCAAUUGCGUGCCAUGAAUUUGGUUUCUGGAUGAAUCAAUGAAGGAAAAUUAGUUUAAAUCACUAUUUUCAAGUAGCCCAUUGUACAGAGUCUCACCAAGUCAAAAACGUUUUGAUAGCAUGAAAGAGUUUAGACAGAAGUGUGAAACCCACGAUACAAUAUGGGGUUGCUGUGCAUGUAUAUUUAUAAGAAGUACUACGUCGGUAAACAAGAUUUGGAUAUGAACACUACUACUGAGGAGGCUUAUCAGAGAAUACUAAUGAUGAACCCUUGAAAUAAAAUACAUGAUAAAUAUAAACAGAUAAACACGUGAGGAAACUAAGCAGGUAGCACUUCUAUCAGUUUUCCUUUGAUUAAGCUUUGGUCACUUUUAUUGAAUGCGGGUGAGAAAUCAAUUCCUUUACUAUCUGUUAAGGAGAUUUCGGAUCUUGAUCAUAGUUUCAAAGUGUACUUUCCAAGAAUCAUCCGCAUACCUUGAUCAUUUUUGGUCCUAGACUUAUUUUAUGGGGUGCAGUACCAAGAAUCGUUCACAUACCUUGCUGUAGGGUUGAGUUUUGAUGCAUGAUAUGCAUAAUUAUCAUGCAAAUACCCCAUUAGUAGUAAAUAUUUAUGCAGUGUAAGCAAACCUUCUGCAGGUCUUUGUUCAAAACACUCAAUUUAUCCUUUGUGUCUGUUUGUUUGAUUUAUGUUUCUGUAAUUGAUUUGGAACCUUUUGUUUUUCGUUUUUAUGAAGCUUCGGAAAGAGUUUAGCAGUGAAGUCGAUUCUGCUAUUGCUGCAUUUCGAGUACUCUCAGCUACUUCAUCUUCUAGUAAUGCAGAUCUUACCAGUCUAUUUCGAGUAGCAGCUCAUGAAGCAAAGAAAUCUCGUGCUCAAAACAGACUUUUAAGGGUGGUAAGCAAUGGUUGGCUUAACUUUUCAUGCAAUUACAUUGGUUAAUUAUUACAUCCGUGCCAUUGUGAUAUUCCAUCUUAUCCCUUCCAUGAUGUUGAAAUUUUUGUGUGUUGAUUGCUAAAGGCUGACAUGCUUGCCCUUAGAUUCUUAUUUACUGUAGAUCAUCUGUAAGACCAAAUCAUCAAUGGCCUGUGAACCAGAAACUCUUCACUCUGGAUGUAGUUUACCUUCACGACAAGCCUGGACCUGAAAACUGCCCUCAAGAGGUCUAUGAUUCACUUGUGGAUGCCCUGGAACUUGUUAGCGAAUAUGAGGGCUACAUCUUGGAGAGCGGUCAGGGAUUAACUCGAGUUCUCUUCCGUUACAUGUGCAUGCUGCUAUCACACCCUCAGCAGCGUUGCCCACAAGACCAUCUGGACAUACCUAAGCCUCUUGCGAAAAAGUUGCCGGCAGCAGAUUCAACGACUACUGAUGAUAGUAUUAUAACUGUGUCCGGCAUAUCAGAAGUUCAGAACAUUAGAAAUUAAUUUUACUGAGGUCAUUUUGCUUCUAAAAGUCUCAUAUGUAUGUAGUUUGUCUGAUGUUGAUGUAAACCUCUUGUUGAGUGAGAAUGAGUAGCCGAUUUGAUCUUGGUCCUAUCUGUCUGUACAAAUUGUGAAUGUUAUGAAUCCCAAUGUUUAUUUUAACCUAUCUGUCGAAGAAUUUUUUAUGACAUUCAAGAUCACGUAAAAUAUAGCAAAAGCAAGAAGUUCUUAGUACUAGUUUGUAUGUGUAUCCCCAUUAAUAUGAAGAGGGAGGUGGGAGCUGGCUUGCUACGCCGCGUCACACGGCACGCGGCAGCUAGGCAUAUUAGACGUCGAAGGAUUCUGGCAUUAAAUGUUAAGCAUUUAUAAACUUUGCCAAGGCUCAAAUUCUCCCAUAAGCAGCCUAAAAUGAGGAUGUUGUAAGUUGAAUUUUGCUACAUAGAACUACAUUCUCGGAAAACAGCUUAGUUGCCACUUUGCCAGUCACAUCACGAGACAUGUGUCGAAAUCUCCCCCGCUCGAAAAAAUAAAAAAUAAAUAAAACAAAAAAAAAAGGUAAGCCUUCCUCAAAGUCUAACGCUACUAGAUUGAAAGGUGAAAAAACUUGAUUGCAUAAGUAUACUACCCAUUGGUAUUGAUGAAAGACUUAUGAGGUUUGAAAUUAAAUCUUUCAAGUUCCCCGCAGAACCCUGCCUUGCCCUUUGGAGUGAGGCUAAGGUUUUCUUCUCUUAUUAAAAAAACCAAUCGACUAUUAUUUGCAUUCCCACAAAACCGUAUGACUCAUUGCUUCCAAUGGUGAGGUCAACAUAUUGGUAAUCAGAAAGAAAAAAAAAAUGCAGAGCUCGAAAAGUUGAAAUGAUAACCAAAAUCCCUCAUCCAUAUAAUUUUUUUUAAGUAGAAGUCAACUUGGAGGGAUGAUCUUAAUCACACAAAUUGUCUGUGACAUCUCUAGAAUUAGUUUUAGUAAUGAAAUAAAUCGUUUAACUCUUUCGCUCAAGAAAUCUGCCGGCAUGACGUGUCGCUUGUGCGUUCCUUGUCCACUUGUGCAUGCUUAUAUAUUGCUUGCACGAGUACAAAGAAAAACUCCAGUUUGAAAAACUUUUUAUACUAAAAAUAAACCCUAAGCAUUAUUAAAUUUGUAUUGUUUUUAAAGUUUGACCAACUGUUUUGAUCUUUUUUUCAUGAACUUGUCCAAGCCGUUCUGGCGCUCUUUAACUAUUAUUAGUCUUAAUAAUCUAUUUCUAAUUGUCAUGAGUCAUGACCAAUCUCCCUUCUCUGUAAAGUGCAUCAAGUUGGUCAUGUCAACUCAUUCUUUUCUUUUUACAAGUGAUGGUGGGGAUAACUAGGUUAACACUUAAAAUUGCUUCCAUCUUCACCUACUUGAAUGACAGAAGAACAUGGGCUCGUGCCUUGUGGGUCACUUAUCUUAUCUUAUUUAACUUUUUUUUAUUGCUUUUAGGUGAAUCGACUGCACAAUCUUAAAUGCAUGAAUGAAUGCUUUAAACUAUUUAAAUUACGAGCUCUUUAUUGUGUUCCUUAGACAGAAGUUAAAACCAUCAUGAUUUGCUGGUUUUGAGUUGGUUAAUUAGUGUUUACAUGGUGUGAAUGUAAAAGUAAAUGGUAAAUGGCUUACAUAGCAAGUUAGUUAUAUAUAAGUUAAAGAAGACACCUCUCAAGUGGUAUGCGAAUCUUGGGGUGGCAUAAAAUAAUUGAGAAUUUAUUUAAAUAUAGUCAAAUUAUUGAAGCUCCUUCAGCUCUCUGUGGAGCCACUUUAAUUUGCUCCAAUAGAUGAUCAUUUUGCUAACAUGUGCCCUUUAUAUUCAUGAUUAAAGAGAAGAGGACUUCAAAUGAACUUUGGACUAUAGGAGAUAGAUAGGAGGAGGAGGAGGAGGAGGAGAUAAAGGAAAAAUCCAUUUCCAGUUUUAAUGGGACUCUGCAUAUCUUCUUCAGCUCACAAAAUUCAGGAUGGCCAUGAAGCUCCAAUGUCCUUUGAAAGGACUGACGAUUCUAAUGGAAUUCAGAUGCACGGUUCCCUUUAUUCUUUGGAAGGAAGCAAAGGAGUAAACCAAGAUAGUGCCAUUCUUUACCAGGUUUGUGAAUAUUUCUUUCCCCUUUAUUAUAUGGAAGGAAGCAAAGGAAUUGUUCUGUGUGUUUCUCUAGCUGCUCAUUUCAAAACCAUAUUGUUUGUUUUUCGCUUUGUCUAUACAUAAAUAUAUAGAAUGGCAAGGCUUGUUUUCUUAGAAAAUCAUCAGCAAUUUCGUUUCAAAAGCAUUCAUGCAAAGCAUGUUGCAUAAUCGGGUUUCAUAUUAUUUUACUAGGCUUCUGAAAGUCUGUUGAUUAUAGCUUUAACCUCUUCUUAUUUUUCUUGUCUUUUCAAUAGGGCUAUGGAUUGGAAGCUGAAGCUUUCUGUGGAGUUUUCGAUGGACAUGGAAGAUUCGGGCACCGAGUGAGUCAGCUGGUGAGAAGCAACCUGCCAUCACUCUUACAAGGCCAGAUGAAAGCUCUUGAUCAACAAGCCAUUGCAGUAGCAGAGGAUGAUGAUUCGAAAAAUCACAUUGACAGAAUAGAAACCGAGUCAGAAGAUUCAGAACCAAGCAAGAAAUUUCACAAAUGGAAAGAAGCCUUUGUUAGCUCCUUCAAAGUCAUGGACAAGGAGAUUAAGCUUCAAGAAAAUCUGGACAGCUCUUGUAGUGGAACCACUGCUGUUGUUGUCAUAAAACAGGUGAGAAAAACUACACAUGAUCAUUGAACAAAUUAUUUAUCUUUCUUUAUUUCUUUGUGUUCGGCUUUAAUUCAAGAAUCAAACAGGGUGAGGAUCUUUUUAUAGCUAAUCUGGGUGACUCAAGGGCAGUCCUAGGAACCACUAGAGAGAAUGGAAUUGAGGCCAUUCAAUUGACCACUGAUCUAAAGCCUGCUUUACCUAGUAAGAAGUUCAUCAUUUUUUUCCAUUUUUUUCCUCUUGUUUAAUUUGAAGUGAUUAUCUGACAGGUGAUCGUUUUUAAUGCAGGUGAAGCAGAACGAAUAAGGGCGUGUGAUGGUCGAGUGGUUGCACUAAAGCAAGAACCUAACAUCCAAAGAGUGUGGUUGCCUCAUAUUGACCUCCCAGGCCUAGCCAUGUCCUGAGCUUUCGGAGACUUCAUACUCAAGGACCAUGGCAUCAUUGCCACCCCUGACGUCUCCUAUCGCCGCCUGACUUCCAAAGAUCGAUUUGUCGUUCUUGCAACGGAUGGGGUAAGCCCUAUUGGAAAUGAAAUGUGUACUUGUUAAGAGUUUUAGCGUUGCCAAAGAAAAAAGGGCACAGUUGCUUUCCUAUGAAUGGCAUUUUAACCACAAUGAUGCGUUUUGUUCUUGGGCUUGGUAUUUAGGUUUGGGAUGUGCUCAGCAACCUUGAAGUUGCAUCCAUUGUGUGGGAAGCUGAUAGUGCACAAGCAGCGGCAAAGGCGGUGACGGAGACUGCGGUGGCCACAUGGAGAAGGAAGUUCCCUUCUGCUAAGAUAGAUGACUGCACUGUGGUUUGCUUGUUUUUGCAAGACAAACUACAUGAUCAUGUUGUGCCUGUAAAGAUAUGAGCUUUUGAGCAAUGCUUGUUGCUUUGUGAUCUUUUUUUAUCUUCAUACAUUUUAACACGACACUAUACUUUUUCAAUUUCUGAUAAGCUAUACUUUUUCAAUUUCUGAUAAGCUACCCGUCCAAUUAUGUACAUAAGCCCACAGGUUCCAUUUUUGGUUAAGACAACAGUUGCUUUCAAGAAUAAAUUUUUGGUCAAAUCAUCCGCCAGUAAAUGAAAUCUUUCAAAACCAAACAGAACCAUUGGCAACCUUCAAAAUGCUCAGUAAAUUUUCAAAAUGUCCACGAAUAAACAAUGAUGUUUUGAUUUGUUUUCUCCAGGCAAUUCUAGAAAGACAUCACAGGGCUAGAAAUUCAUGAACAUAAAUAUAAUAAGACUUGACAUAGUGGCAAAAGGCAUUCUUGAAAUUUCAUUGAAAUGCUUUUAAUCACAAUAGGAUAAGGCCGAUAAACUUCAGUUAAACUCUUUAAUAGGGGAAAAGAAUUAUGUUGCCUCCAGGCAAACGAAACAAAAGAGAACUUUCUGCAUAUAAAAACCCCAUUUGUGAGUAAACUCAAUGCCUACCAUCUGGAUGAAAAAAUAGAAACAGAAGAUCCCGGGCGAAUAUAAAUCCAUUUCCUCUAAUAUUCAAGUGCAUCAUCUUUGGGCGCCUCUCCAAGCAGGUCAUCAUCAUAUGAAACAGGUACCCUUAACCUAUCAUGAACAGAAAGUUGUUUCCCUUCAGUAUUUGACUGAAUGCCUUGAGUUUGCAUUUGACAAAUAACCGGUACGGCAUCUGAAAUAUUAGCUGGAGUAUCAUCCUUGAAUGAAUUCACAAUUGCUUUAGAUGAACCUUCUUUCCCUUGCUGUAUUGGUUGUCUAUUAUUUGUUGACCUGAAUUGCUUCUGCAUGGAGAUAGAAAACAUAAAAAGUAAUCAACGAUGCUGUAGUUUUACACUUUUUCUAAUAAAAGUGAUAUUUAAUUGACGUUUGGGAAAUAACAUCAGAAACAACACUAUGAAUCUAUGAUCCACUACUGCGCACCUCAAAUUCCCUUCCUUUUUUCAUUAUCUCUUUGUAGGCCUUUGGUUCUCGUGCUUUGAUGAUACUCCAUAGUACUCCACCACCAAAUCGGAAACGUUUGCCAUCAUGAGUCAUCUGACCUCCACAAGCCUGGAUCGCAUCCACCUGAAAUUUUUCAUCAUUUCACAAAUGAUAUCCUAGAUACACCAUGGUUUCUAGCAGGGAAAAAGUAUCCAUUCUCCUGAUACUGGAUUCCAUCCGGACUACAAAUAACUAAUAUACGAGAAACAUAGAAACACUUGUAACAACCACAUUUAAUAAAAUUCAGAAAUUACUUAACUAAGGAUAUCGUUCCCUACAAUCAAAGUAAGCUCAAAGAUGUUCAUAAUCACAAAAGUUUCUGUAAACCAUCUCCGGAUAGAGCUUAUGGUUCCUGGGGGAGGAGCAAACAUGAAUGAUGAGCUUUUUGGAGCAAAAAUAGAUGUGUAUUGCUUUGUUACGCGUAUCUAUUAGAGUACUCUUACAUGUGUUUUGCAUGCAUAUUGGCUAAUGCAACUCCAAGAAAAAAUGAUAUCAACCUACACAAAUAGCAUAUGAUGAAGUGGUUCAUCCAGGGGACAUCACAGCUCAGAGCACAAGAUUGAAAGGAGUAAAAUGGCUUCUGCAAGAGAAAUCUGCAAGGGUAGGGAAACAAUAUUGAGGAUCAGAAAUUAUGCAAGGCUGCGUGGCCAAAUAGUGUGCAUAAGCAUCGGCAGCUCUAAGCUGGUCCAAAAUUAAGCAACCCAGAAUCUCACCUUCCCUUGCAAAAGGCCAGUCGAAUCAUUCAAGUCCACUCUCAACAAAGGAUACCCUGCCUUCCCCUUGAAGCUAUAAUGUGAAGGGAACUUAAAAAGGGACAGAUGGCUCAGAAGGUAAAGACAACCUUAAAAGUACCCCAUAAAGCAUAACCAUCCUCCCAAUAACAGGACCCCCAAUUAGCAAAAAAACCAGCGUGUUCAAGAAUCUAUAGAACAGAAUUGGCACAGACAAUAUGAUAGGUGAUUUUUAAUUGACAUCACUGAAACCCAGCUCUGAGUGCAAAUCCCAUGUUCUGAACAUGAGCAGCAAGGUCGGAUCAUCUUAAAGCUAGAUGUGAAGCGGAGUCAAGGCAACCUUAAGAAGUACCCAUAAAGCACGCCCAGACACAACCCAUUCACCCAAUAACAGGAUUACCAUUAGCAGAAAGACCAAGAGUGCUCAAGCAGGUACAUAAUAGAAUUACUUUGAACAAUAUAAUAGAUGAUUUCAAUUGAGAAUAUCACUGAAAACUCCACUGAAAGGUAUUGGGCACAAAGCACAUGUUCUUAAACUGACAGCAAGGUCGGAUCAUCUAAAAAUGCACAUUAAUGCAGAUAAACAUGUACCAAAUUUACAACCAGUUGCUAAUGGCGUCUGUCAAGGAGAUUUUCAGAAGACAAUUACAAAACAUAAUGCAAUGCACACGUAGUUGCGUAUAAAAGAUAAAGAAAACAAUCCCCAAGUUAUAUAAUUUGCUUUGUCACAGCAUUUCCACAAAAGCACACAACGAAGGGCAGCAUACCUCUUUGACGAGAUCAUUCAAUGCAAGAACACCCAGACAACCAACAGCAGUAUAUACCAGAUAUGAUUUCUUCUCUUUCAGUCGCCUACAUGUAUCCAUCACAAACCUGAAAAAGACAUAACAUUAAAAGAAUGUAAAAACCCACAAGAGAGCUCCAAAUUCCUUUUGAAUAUAUGUAAUUUCUUUCGUUCUUAAUCGGGCAGGGCAUAACCUGUCUAUGUCAGUGACAUUAAUUCCAGGGCCACUGUUCCUUCUCCUAUUCCUCUUCUUCUUACCCCUGCGCUUCUGAUUCUUGCCCUGACGUUCUUGGUUUGCUACACUGACAUUGCCACCACUGAUCUGUCCCGAACCAUUUUGUGAGUUAAAAUCCACAAGCUCCCCUUCUUCCACAAGCUCUCCUUCUUCCACAUCAAGCAUCUCAACAUCUUCGCCAUCUUCAAAGUUAUCGUCUUCAAAUACUGCGUCUAGUAUGUUGUGUUCUCCUUCCAUAUAAGGUUUUCUUCAAUGGGGGGAAAAAACGCACCACAAAAUUUAUAAGCACCUACAGAGCAGAAAGCAGGAAGAAAACACGCAGAUUUCCACAGACGAGACAAAAACUGCAAACUCGUGCAAAUUUUCUCUAUGGCAAAUCACCAAACAGAUUAUGCGAGCCCUAACCAGAAAAAAUCACAAGUACAACGAAAACAAAAAAAAAAACGUAAAUAAAUAUUUUUUUUAAAAACCGAUGUACGAACCCUAACAAUGCAAAAACAAACACAGCAAUUCAAAGCUUAUGGAAUUUUCCAAUUAGAGUGCUCUGCUUAAGGACGAUGAAGCAUAACCGCGGCUUUUGGCGUUUGGUUGAUCAGAGGACUGCGUUUCGCUGGUAUGGUCUUUAUAGUGAAGCCUAGAUGAGCGCUGGCGGUAAUCAGUAAUGGCUUGUUUGGCUGCGUGGCAAACGAUGAUAUUAAUCCGGAUUGGGUUAUAGGUGGAAAGGCCCAACCCAAGGACGCUUUGCUUAUCUGUACUGAGCGAGCCCAAAAUGGCUGAAACUUAGUCCAUCCCCAAUCUAUUAGUGAUAUUUUAUGAUUUGUUUUUGUUGAAUACGUAAUUGUUAGUAGGUUAUCUGUCGACGUUUGAUUUCUUUUCAAUAGUGGGCCAUACGUCAUUGGCCAAUCCGUACGAGUCCACAACAAAACUGAGUUGAUGUGGAUUGUUGAGUGUGAAAUUUUGAGGAGUAAGUUUUGGGUGAAAAGCUCGGACCACGUAAUCUAUCUGUCCAACUGUUUUCAUAAGAGGGUAUAAAUUUUAUUGAGCGCCUGUCGGACGGAUGACAUGGUUUUAGAGCAAAGCCAAGCCCAACCUCAUAUUCAGACACCAUUGAUUGGAACGGGUAUGAAGUGGAAAUACAGGCCUUCCUUUAUCUUGUUCAGCAAGCAAUGGUGCAUUUUUGUCCUGUAAUUCAUAAAUCUAAUAGAUGCCCUUUGUCUGCAUCAUCACUUUUGUUGUAUUCUUUAAAUUAUACCUACCUUGUUUUCUACCUAUUCAAACGAGGGGAAGGUGGGCAUGAUUGGUACCAAAGUUUCAACCUAACGUUCUUCAACAUCUAGUAGCUUUUAUAUUAUAAAGUUAAAAGAAGAAAAAUACAAAAAGAAAACUCAUUAGAGCUUCCAGCUCUUGUUUUGAAUGAUGAUAGAUUAAGUCUGAUGUUGGGUUGAAAUAUUCUUUAUUAUGGCUAACUUAGCAUUGAUGUGCUAUGAAAAUAUACGCUGUUAGAUUUAUUGUGAGAAAAAUCAACAGUGAGAUAAAACAAUUUGGUGUUUGAUAAAAAAACAAAAGGGUCCCCACUUGCUCUAACAACAAAAAAACUAAAAAUCUUGCAAGUUAACUAAAGAAACUGUAUUCUUUAAUAAAUGAAAUUUCCCGUUAUUAUCUAUAUAUAUAAAGCAAAAGGCAGAGAAUGGUGAAACAUUCAAAAUACCAGAAAAUACCCUUGGUUAAUGCAAAUAUUAAGAAUUGAAAUUAUUAAUUAAAUGAGGAUAAUAUGGUAAAUUCACAAUUUUUCGUAUUAAAAAAAUUAAAAUUAAAAGAAAAUUCAGAUAAUGGAUCCUAUUUUUAUGGAACACAAAUAUCCAUUAUCUUUUUUAAUUCUAAAAUAAAUUUAAAUUUUUUUAAAAAAAAACCUCUCGCAUGCGCAGAAGCGCGUGCAGAGAGGCUAGUAUAUAUAAAGCAAAAGGCAGAGAAUGGUGAAACAUUUAAAAUACCAGAAAAUGCCAUUGGUUAAUGCAAACAUUAAGAAUUGAAAUUAUUAAUUAAAUGAGGAUAAUAUGGUAAAUUCAUAAUUUUUCGUAUUAAAAAAAUUAAAAUUAAAAGAAAAUUCAGAUAAUGGAUCCUAUUUUUAUGGAACACAAAUAUCCAUUAUCUUUUUUAAUUCUAAAAUAAAUUUAAAUUUUUUAUAAAAAAAACCUCUCGCAUGCGCGGAAGCGCGUGCAGAGAGGCUAGUACGAAUUACGGGUGAAAAAACCAGUGGAAUUAUACGGCGCCAACACUGUAAUUCCCGCAAUAAUACGGUGCCGACGUGUACGCUCCAGAUUGCACCCCUUUCCAAUUAAAGAGUGAGCUCACUGGGGCCCGCAAUCAAUCAUCCAAGUCGCAUUGAAAAAGAGAACCCACGUGGUCACCAAUAAAUAUCAACUCCUCCUCCGACCUUCGAUCUUUGUGUUAUAUGUCAGCUCCACCAAUCAGAUAUCCUCAUACCAAUUUGACCGGAAACCGCCAUGACUCGGUUGGCUAGCGCCGUCGUCCUGUUGUUCCUUGUCUCCCUCUCCAGUUUCGCUGCCGGUAGCCGGGACCUGAUCGGAGACGUUUUACGGUUACCUUCUGAAGCUUCUAGAUUCUUCGGCAGAGGCGAUGACGGCCCUGAUGAGCAAGACGACGGCACCGUGGGGACCAGAUGGGCUGUUUUGAUCGCUGGCUCAAAUGGAUACUGGAAUUACAGGCAUCAGGUCUUAAUUUUACACGAUAUCAUCUUUCUUAAUUCAGAAAUAUUCUUUUUUGUUAUCAAACUUCAGUUGUUAAUGGAAUUUGAGUUAUAAUUUUGGAUGUUAAUUUCAAUUUUUUUUCCCUUCAUGUUUUUUGAAUUGUUUGAUAUCUGAAUUUGGGUAACCUCAUAUUGGAAAGUUUAUGCUUGUAUAAUCUCGUUUAAAUUUGACUUUCAGCUUAUCCAAUUUCUGAUUCUUUUACCUUGUUGCUUUCGAAUUUGUCAAACUAAAUUUUGGAAGCUUAGAGUUUGUUUUGGAACUAAUAUGAAUUUAGCUCAAGCUUGUGUCUUUCUUAUCUUCCUUGAUCUCAUCUCAUUUUGACUAAGACAGAGUUUUAAAUUUACAUGUGGCUUGAGUUUGUUUUGGAACUCAUAUGCAUUUAGUUCAAGUUCGUUUUAUUAAUUAUUAUAUUCCUUGAUCUCAUCUCAGUUUGAAACUUUGACAUGGAGUACAUGAUCUCAACGUUAACCAUAUUUGUAUAGGAGCUGGAUUUCUGUGUCAGGGGUGAAAUUGAUACUUUUGUUGUGUCUAUAUCUUCAUAUGAAUGUCAAUAAAUAUCUUAUUGGUUUCACAUAUUUGAAAGCUAAGCCACCCUCAUUUCUUGAUUGAUGUUUAACACGGACCUUUUUAUCUUGUUUGUUUAGGCUGAUAUUUGCCAUGCUUAUCAACUACUGAAGAAAGGUGGGCUGAAAGAUGAAAACAUUGUUGUAUUCAUGUAUGAUGAUAUCGCUUAUAACGAAGAGAACCCUAGGCCCGGAGUCAUCAUUAACAGCCCACAUGGUGAUGACGUUUACAAAGGAGUCCCAAAGGUCUGUUAUCUUCCCCUCUAGGUGUUUACCUGCUUCUGAAUUGAUAGUUAUAAUUCCCCUCAUGCGGUCGAUUUUACGGUGGCAGGAUUACACCGGCGAUGAUGUUACUGUUAACAAUUUUUUUGCUGCUAUCCUUGGAAAUAAAACUGCUCUUACAGGGGGUACUGGGAAGGUUGUGGACAGCGGUCCAAACGAUCAUAUUUUCAUUUACUAUUCUGAUCAUGGUGGUCCUGGAGUUCUCGGUUAGUAUCAAUUCUGCACAUGACAAUACUGACAUUAUUUUGCCCACAUCCCCAUAUCUUAUCUACUUACUCUUUCCCUAGGGAUGCCUACCAGUCCAUAUAUUUAUGCUAACGAUCUAAUAGAAGUCCUGAAGAAGAAGCACGCAGCAGGAACCUAUAAAAGCUUGGUAAGUUUCUAGUUGAACUGUAAAUAGAUGCUGCAUAUACCAAUAGAGUUGGACUAAUUCGUAGAACUGCAGGUAUUUUAUCUUGAAGCUUGUGAAUCCGGAAGUAUCUUUGAGGGACUUCUUCCUGAAGGUUUGAAUAUCUUUGCAACUACGGCAUCAAAUGCAGAAGAGAGCAGUUGGGGGACUUACUGUCCAGGAGAGUAUCCUAGUCCUCCCCCGGAGUAUGAAACCUGCUUGGGUGACCUGUAUAGCGUUGCUUGGAUGGAAGACAGGUAUGCAGAAUUAUUUUAUUUUGUUAAAUUUUCAAUAAAGGGGUGGGAAGAAAAGCAGCUUAAUGUUAGCUUCAUUUUGCAUACCCUUGGUAAAUAAUAACAAUUUCAUCUUUCCCUAAAAGUGCAUUACUUCUUGAGUAUUGUCACUUUAAGAUUUGCCUCAAAAUAUGAAGAAUAUAUGAAUUAGGUAGAAGUUUGAAACUGUAUCAUUUCAUGCCAGUUGUUUUUUCUUCUUUAAUUCUUGCACUGGUGGUGUGGGUGUUUGGAUUGUCUUUGCAAGAGCAGUUUCUUUCUCAGGUUGGAGAAUGAAACUGUUCAAAUUAUAAUUUUCAUUUGAGAUUUAACAUUUUGACCUUGUGAACAGUGACAUACACAACUUGAGGUCGGAAACUUUGCACCAACAGUAUGAGCUGGUAAGAAUUCGUCUCUUAACACAUUGUUAUGGAACAGAUAGAGAUUUUUUUUUCUUCUUUUGUACAGGAAAGACCAGCUGUUUAUUAUUGUAUGUUUAAAUAAAAGAGAUUGUCUGUAUUUAGAGAAGUCUUGGGGGUCUAGCCAAGAAAUAUCUAGAUGUGAUCCUGCUAGUUGCUAAUGUCAGUUCUUUGAUUUCAUUAUGAUGGCCCAGGUUAAAACGAGGACAGCAAAUGACAAUUCUGGCUUUGGUUCUCAUGUCAUGCAAUAUGGCGAUGUAGGGCUCAGCAAGGAAAACCUCUUUGUGUAUAUGGGGACAAAUCCUGCAAAUGAUAACUACACUUUUCUGGGCGAGAACUCCUUGAGGCCAUCUACAAAAGCUGUCAACCAGCGGGAUGCUGAUCUUGUCCAUUUCUGGCAUAAGGUUAACUCUUACCUUUUUCAUCCGUGAAUAGUUAUUUUGCCUUUUCUUUUAAAUAUCUAGUCUUAAAAUUUAUGUACUAGUCAUCAUCGGUACUUAUAUUUGGAAGUAUUUCAUACUGUUAGAUAUUAUGAUUGAUUUGAUUAAAAGUCAGGAGAGAUCAGUAAUGAUGAUUGGGGAAUACUCCAUGUUUUCAUUGUUUAAACGGUAACAUAUCAUAAGUACCAUGGAGGUUUUGGAACCAUGCCAUUUGCCCUGCUCUCCUGUGAAGCUCCAAACAAAGCAGUAGAAUAUCUCUGCUUGGAACAAGAAUUUUGAAUACCAAAAAGGGAAUGAAACCAAGGUUUUGAUUAAAUAAAAGCCUUAAUUGUUAUGAAAAUCUAAGGUUCUACUUCUGAAUAUUCUGUGGUUUUGUAACUAUUUCUGUGUGUUAGCUGUCAGCCUGAAGAUCUAAGCCCCUUGUUUUCCCUUCUUUUCUUUUUCUGGAUGCAGUACCGCAAAGCUCCUGAAGGCUCACCAAGGAAAAUUCAAGCUCAAAAGGAUUUUGUUGAAGCAAUGUCUCAUAGAAUGCAUAUGGAUCAAACCAUGAAACUUAUCGGGAAACUCCUGUUUGGAAUCAAGAAAGGUCCAGAAGUGCUCAACACUGUUCGACCUGCUGGGCAGCCACUUGUUGAUGACUGGGACUGCCUUAAGACAAUGGUAGUACUUCUGCUGUUCAUUUUCUCCUUAAUGCUGUUAAAACUUUUCUGAUUCCAUCUUGUUCUGCAUAUAAAACAGAUUUUCACAAAUAAUAUAUGUGGCUGUGCCUGAUGGGUUUGUGUGUGCAGGUGAGGAGUUUUGAGACAUAUUGUGGAUCCCUAUCUCAAUACGGGAUGAAACACAUGCGGUCCCUGGCAAACAUCUGCAACGCCGGAAUGACAAAGGAGCAGAUGACCGAGGCUUCAGCACAAGCCUGCACGAGCGUUCCUUCUAGCCGUUGGAGCUCCCUGCACCGGGGGUUCAGCGCAUGAUUUCAAGAAGAAGAAAAAAUGUGGGAUUUGAAUAACCAAUCCGUGGUCAUCUCUAUAUGCAAAACAUAUCUUAGGAUGCAUUUCGAUUAUUGUUAAUGUUAUUCUGAUUGCUUCAGUGUAACCUUGUGUAAAUACAACUCAAGCCCCUGUACUGUAAUGCACGUACCUACUGAAUCUUGUAAGUAAAUAUUAGCAUGUUUGUUGCGUAUGAAUACGUACCUGUUUGCUGCAGCUGGUGUACGCAUCAGGCUCUGGUUAUAAAAAAGUUUGCAAUUACGAUAUGCCUUUGUUUUAUGUUCACUUUGGUUGCUUCAUUAAGGAAGUGAGUGGCUUGUCUCCAUCUCCUUCACCACCACCACUAACAGAACAUAAUUAUCGCGUAACACUUUCAACUUUAUGUCUAUUUGAGUUAUUAUUUACAAUUACAAUUUUUUUAUAUUAAAAUUUAUCAAAUAAUUUUGACAAUGCUUUUUGUACUAGCACUUCAAAAGAAUUAUUUAUUAAACAUGAAGUUGCUUUACUUUACAAUUAAUUAUUUUUAAAGCACAAUAAAAUUAAAUUUUUUAAAAAAGUCACAUCAAUCUCAAAUUCCCCUUCUUUCUUGUCCGUCUCCAAAUGGUAAACUGGUAAUCUAGCUUUUGACCCCCAAAAAAAUGGAAAUCUAGUGGGCCUUUCAUAAGAUAAUGUCAUUAUCAUUGUGUGAGUAUAUUCCGUGUAAUUGAGUAAUGAAAGAUAUCGAUCGCGUUGGGAAUUGGGGAAAGUUAGAAAUAUUUAAGAGACGGAUUUACUCCCUCAAUUAAUGUAAUUUAUGGGUUUUCAAGAAUUAAAUGACGGAUUUUAAUGUGGAACACACAUAAAUUUGUAUACCUGAUGUAAAUUUAAGAGUUGGAAUAAUUUUAAUAUCCAUUAUAGGCAAAUGAACAUGCCAUGCUAUAGGUGUGUGCCCAAUUUCAUUGUGGAGAACGUAGCCGUAGGAGAGCAUGCGUCCAACCCCAAAUUCCCUUUCUUCCUCACCUUGCUCCAACCUGUAGCUGCCAAAAUGUAGGUAAGCAACAGCCUACAUUACGGGUCCAAUAAUGUACAAUUUUGGCAAAGUCCAAUUACUUUAAUGAUGGAAUGAUUGUAUAGUUAAAUCUUACUUAAUAAGAUAAGAGUGAGAGUCAAAUUUAUACGGUGCAUAUUUAUUUCAUGUGUCAAUGCCAAUUAUAUUACAUAUUUUAAUUGAAUAAUACGGACCAUUUAACUUGACACAUGCAAAAUUAUAGAUGAGCUUGUAAUUGUAACAUUAAGAUUCACACAAAAAACGAAACUCACAAUAUUUAGCUGAAUGGAAAAUGUUUUCAAGAUGCAUCUAUCAUAAGUUCUAGCUGUGAACAUUAUUAUAUGGCAGUGUCCCAUCCCAUGGUCUCCCCAAGACUCACAACCCAACAUUUUCUUUUUCUUUUUCUUUUUCUUUUAUUUUUUUAUUUUUAUAAAACGCAACCCAACUUUAAAAAUAUGAUCCAUAAUUGCAUAUUGUCAAACCAACAGUGAAAAAAAAAAAAAAAAAAAGGGAAGCAGGAACCGACGCUCUAGAUUCAACAAUUUUAUUUGGUCAACACACAAAUAUUUAAGCUUGGCUUAUAUACGGUCUAUAAUCGGCCACAGGAACCGGACAUCAAGGACAAUUGUCUGAUAACGUGAAAUCCACGACUCUGGUUAAACUUACCAUGGUUAGUUCACUAUAACCAUACUACAACGAACCGGUUCACCAGAAAAAUAAAAUUAAAAAAUUAAAAAAUUAAAAAAAGGUAAAGGAUGAAUAAAAAAAUAAUUGGGUAAUGCAAAUUAUUGCCACUUAACGGAGUAGUAGAUUCUGUUAGAUUCAUUUGACGAGGCGAAGAGGGGGCGCAUAGUAAGAACGUUGUAACGAGGUUUAAAAGAGACGGAGCUGACGGUUUAAGAUAGGGAGACGCGGGAGCCGUUGGAUUGUUGAUCAAGGGCCGAUAAUGCAAGGCGUUGGACGGUUCAAGUGUGACGGAGAGUGGGAGGGGUCGUAUAAAGCCUGGGUUUUGAAAGGUGAGAGUGCAUUUCGUUCCAUCAAAACAAGAAGAAGAAAGAGGAAGAAGAAGGAGAAAGAGCCUCUCUGACGUUUUGGCCUUCGGUUUUUCUUCUGCUUUAGAAUUUAAAGAGGAAUUCGGGAGAGAAUUCGUAGAGCUGGACUGUGUGUAAUGUUAAGGAUCUAAUUACGAAGCUUUUCUGUGAGCCUGUUGUGUGUUCGCGGGAGAGAGAAGGAGAGAAGAGCUUGCAGAGGUUGGUGAUGGAGAAAACAGAGCUCGAUUUUGGUAGUUUUAAUGUAAUCUGAUUUCUUAGAAUGACCGGGUUAUUUUGUGCAAUUUCUGUUUUGCAGAUACAUUCAGAAGAGCUUUUGGAGGAAUUUGAAGUGAAAUCGAUUGCGAUUUGCUGGGAUAAUUUCCAAGGUGGACCUCAUUUCAUUGAAAUUUACAGAGAAAAGGUCGAGAAAUCUAGUUUAGAGGUGAGGGGAGUUGGAUUUGCUUAAUUUCCUAAACGAUUUCACUCCCUUAUUCUAACUCAUCGUUCGUUUGAUUUUGGUUUCACAGGUACAUUUCCCGGAGAUUUGACCCCUUUUUUUUGAAGAAAUCUCAACUGGGGUAUGAGAUAAAGAAGAACAAGCAUCUCUCAUUCAUGAGUGUCAGGGACAUAGGCUCUAAGUUUCAAUCAUUUCGUUGAUUUUCGGCUCUAGAUUUGCAUUUUGCAAAGUCAGAAGGCCUAGAAGAGCAAGAUUACCCAAAAGAAGCAAACUUUCUUUUGCAAAUUCAGGAUUGUAGCUGCUUGCGAAAUCUCAGUAUAACAGGUGAGGAUUCAUUUUCCGAAUCCUAGAUCAGUGAAACCAAGUCUCGGGCUUAGGAUUUCACUGGCUGAUUUGAUUUCCUUCCAUUUUCGGUUCUUCGAAUUUUGAUAUCUUUCUACUCAAUUUGGUUUCUUCAAGGAGGCUCUCACUUUUCUCUUCUUUUUCCUCAUCUGCAGCAGAGUCCAAGCAAUUGGUUUCUCUGUUUUUUGAUUUUCGAUGUUCAAAAGCAGAUAACUUUGCAACAGAAUUUUAAGCUUUUCAAAUGAAGCCAGCCGAGUUCCUUGACUCUCUCUCUCUCUCUCUCUCUCUCUCUCUCUCUCUCUCUCUCUCGCUCGCUGGGUCUUACAUUUGGAUCCAUCAUCUUUGUCCAUCAUCUUCUUUCAAUUUUCUGUCAUCUGCCUUCUGUGCAAGAAUUUUCAAUUUCAAAAAACUAAUUGACCUUUAUAUUUGGGAAGAUUAUCUCUUCUUCUUCGUCUUCUUCUUCUUCCUCUCCUCCUCCUCCCCAUUUUAAAGGCUUUUAAUAUAUUUUUCUGAAUGAUUUCCGUCUGUAUUAUCAGCAUUGAAAAGAAAAGACCUUCUCUAUGAAAUUUUACCCGCUGUUUUGUGAAAAAUCUAUCUAUCUUUGGUGUUCUUUGCUGGCAGUCCGAAGUUUGUGUCUUUUCCGAAAUUCAAACACCAGCAGAGUGCAAAAUCUUCUGUUUGGUUCUCGGGAAACUGAUACAAGAAAAAACUGAGCUAACAGACGUAAUUGCUCAACUUAUUUAAUCGCAAUUCGUUGGAAGCGUCUGAUAAAAAAAAUAUAUAUAUAUAUCAAAGAUACAAUUUUCAUUCUUUGUCCUUUCCCUGCCUUUUUUUUUUUUCGAUCUUCAUCUUCUCCGUCUGUUUGGGUAGGCCCUGCUUUUCAUUUGAAUUUUAUUUUUAGGCACUCGCAGUUGCAGAGAGCCAGCCACAAUCCAAUUCCAGAUUCUCAGUUUUUGCCAUUUCCGUCCCUAACUUUAAUUAUGAGCAUUAACCGCGGUUAAAGUGUAAAAAAUCAUGUUAACUAACUAACCGCUGUGAUUAAUUCUUGUUUUGGCAUGGGUGGACAGGUGUACAAAAGGAGAUGGAAAGGGACUGUCUUAGGCACACCCAUACUAAAGACACCCACAAUCCCAACACUCGAGACAAAACCGGAGGGGACGCCUCAGCCUCUCUGCUGUUGAGAGCGAGCCCCGAUGCCAUACGACACGCAACGACGUCGUCCGAUUUCGUUUUGCAGUGGGGGAACCGCAAGCGCCUCAGGUGUAUGAAGAUCCAGGUCAAAGACAAGGGCAAAGACGACUCCGACGCCCCGGUUACCCGAACCACAGUCCGGGUCGACCGCCGGGUCGUCCGACCUGAUAAGGACCCGGCCAAUCAGCCUUCCACGGCCGGUAACUCUAAUCAGACGAAUGGGUAUUUGAAUCUCCGUCAACGGCCGUUAUCUCCGCAGCAGCCGCCACUUCAGCGUGUUCUCAGGUUACCACUUGCACUUCACGCUUUUGCUUUAUCUAAUCUAUAUCUAUUGCUUCCACGGGACGUCGUUUCGGUCCUGCCUUUCGUUAACAUGUAGUUUCGUCGUUUUGUGGGGUAGUUGUGGUGGCGUUUUGUCGUUUAAAUUAGUGGCGGGUGGGCCAGGUGCGUGGGUUUUGUCGUUUUUAGUUAUUUUGGGACUUGUUGCCUACGGUUACAUCUGUACAGUUUUGGUGCGGUUUUUAUAUAUACCUUGAUCUCACCGUCAGAUGCAUGAGUCAUAAUCAUCAGAUCAGGAGAUUUUAUAUUCAGACUUGCUUGAUUUUAGAUUUUAGAUUUGUGAGGAAAAAUCUCAGAUGAUUGCGUGGCCAAUUUCUCUACGUCUGUGAAGGUCAAAGAGAAUAAUUUUGUUAGGUAAGUGUUUGUUGCUUUGAUUAGAUUAUUUCAUAUGCAACAAUAGAGUGAUUGCAAAUUCUGUUAUCUUCUUCCUUGUUUGGUUGAAGAGAAAAUCUUGUUUGCGUGAAGGGAAAAUCUCUGAUUUUCUUGUGCAAAUUUGUCGCUUUAGAUUGGAUUGAUUUAUAUGAGUGGGACUGGAUAAAUGGAUAAGGCUAGAAAGCAUGGAAUUUUGUCCCACACCACUGGUUUUUUAUAUUCCUGGCCUGCCAUUAACAUGGCUGUGUUUAAUCCUAUGUGCUUAAUGUGUAGUUGAAUGAAAUUUUGUCGGAGGGUUUUUGAGAUUAGGAGUUUUAAUGAUGAAAUUUGGGGCUGAAUUUGUUGUGAGGCUUAUCUUAAUGAUCAACUCUCCAAUUGGUCAGGUGGGUGAAGAGAUGUAAAAGCCCCAGAAGGAGAGCUCAUGGUAAGUGCAUGAGGGUAGGGUGCCUUCUUUGUUUGUCUUUGUAGGAAACUAGUAGCAUAUGAUUGAAUUAGGUUGCUCAUGUAGUCAUGUAAUCUUUUUGGCUUGAUUGUGCACAACAUAAAACACAUUAACAUAACAAACAACUUAAAUUAGAGAAAGAGAGAGUCUUAGUGCCAUAAGGUCAAGCAUUUACCCUCACAUUCACGGCAAGAGUUUGAUUCUUCCUCGUUCGUGUUUUUCAGGAUGCGGUAUUAAAUUAUGGUAUCAUACAGGAUGGUGUAUCAAUAAGUUGAUGUCAAGCAUGAUUGAUUUGAUACUAGUUCUAGUUUUCUUUUUUGGAAUAAAUGCCUUAUUUAUUGUGAUUGAUUUGUUAUUUAUUUUAGACACGAUGUUAGGGCUGAUUUGAUCAUAAAUCUAGAAUGAUUAGGCUUGAGUAAAUUGAUUUCCACUAGGACUUGUGUAGCAGGCUUAUGUUGCUCAUGGUCACACCGGAUCGGGGCUCCACUACAUCUUAGCAUGAUAGCGUCCGAUCCAUAACGACCGGCACCCUGAUUCCAUGGGCUCAGUGGAAAUAGGAAAUGGGCAACUCCUAUUCCACGUGUCCACGGAAAACCAAUUCUUCAACCCCGUUUCUAGCCCUGGGAUCACUGAUGGAUCAGGCAAUGGAUCCACGCCUUCCACGUUUCAACACGUGUUCCUUAACCCCACAAAAGGCACUCUCAAUCCAACGGCUAAAAUCCUGCCCAAAAACCAGCUGUGCACGUUAUACAGUACAUCACAUCCCUUUCCUCUCUCUCUCUCUCUCUCUCUCUCUCUCUCUCAAAUAUCUAACUUUUCAUUAAAGAAAAGAAAAUUAACAACUCCCUCGUUUAAAAGCAGAACACAAAGGUCCCCCAAAGAAGCCAAAAACCACGCUAAUUUUCUACGCAAAACCCAUUACAAAGCCUCUCUCUCUCUCUCUCUCUCUCUCUCUCUCUCACACCAAUCCACCGAUCUAGAUCGUCUCAAGGCCAUUCCCGUAAUUUCACAACUACCCACAUUAAUUUAAUUUAAUUUAAUUUUUUGCCCAAAAAGUAUCAUUUAUUAUGUUUUGUGCCAGCUUUUUUAUGGGUUUAUUGAAUUCAAUUGAUUUGAUUUGAUUUGAUUUUGAUAUGCGUAUCUGAAUUGUGUAGAAACUCAGAGACCACAACAAGUGCCAUGAGAGGCCAGAGCAACGGAGGCUUGAGGGGAAUUGUUUCACCCGACAACAGAGGGGGUGCGCACGAUAAGAAAGGCAACCACCACCAUCACAACCACCACCACCAUAAUAAUGAGAAUAACAACACCAAGUCUGCAGCUUCUUCGGACACGGCGCACGAUAGUAAAAAGGGGGGAGGUGGGUCUUCAUCGGGAAGCGGCGAAGCAGCGUUGGCGCCACCGAUGGUCUGGCCGCCGAAGUUCGUGAUUGCUUUGACCAACAAAGAGAAAGAAGAGGACUUCAUGGCAAUCAAAGGGUCAAAAUUGCCUCAGAGACCCAAGAAGAGAGCAAAGUUCAUUCAACGCACCCUCAAUGUAAGCUCCUCUAUUUUCCUUUUUUAGUUACUUUAUUAAUUAAUUAGUAUUAAUUAAAACUAACUAGUUUUUUUUAUUUUUUUUCUUUCUCUUUUUAAAAUAACACCAUUGCCUUGCAAAAACAAAUCAAAACCCAGUUUGAUUUUAUUAUAUUUAUAUGGUUGUUUUACCUGUAUUUAUGCAAAUUGUUGUUGCGACAAAAUGUGGACUAGCUUAGAAGGAAGGAAAAGCAAAAAAUAAUAAAAUAAUAGAAUAAUAAAUAGAACUUUCUGGUAUUUGUUUAGUUUGGGUUAAAAGAAGCCGAAGAAGAUUGCUAAAGUGACAGCAAGAACAAGGCAUACACGUGUCCGCCAAGCCAUGUAUGCAUAUACCUAAUAUGCCUAAAAGUUAGUUUGCUGUCCGACUGGAAUAGUAUUAAUAGGACGAUGGUUUGGGUUAAGAUUAAAUUCUAUAUUAUUCAUAAUAAUAUGAUAAUGAAAUAUUUUAUUUAGGGUCGCCUCGUUUAGUGGAAAAUUGAUGUCACACGUGGCAAUACAUGGUUGUUGCUUUUGGGUUGGUUAUCGUGGCGAUGGACGGUGCGUGGCGUCUCAUGUGGCCGCAUGUGAUUUAGUGGGCAUCAGUGGACGUUUAAAGCAAGUGGGCCUUAAUUCUGUACUAACCGACAAAAAAAGGGCAUAUGGGUCGAAACGGACCCUGGGCCUGUUACCGUUGGUUUUUUUUUGGGGGGUUCUUUUUGGGAAAUAAUAUGCUUCAUGUUGAGGGCAUAUAGGUAUUUUCACUAGCCCUUAAUUAUGCUAACUGUUUUCUGGCUUGGACCGCACUGCCAACUGCUGAGCACAAAAGCACGAAAGCUGACUACCCACAAUGCACCGUUUUCGUUUUUUAAGUUCCAAACAUAGCAAAACUCAUCAAAGUGCUUAUCAAAAAGCCUAUCCCGCUUUUUGCCCAUUACCUAAAGCAAAAGCUACGCUUUUGCCAGUCUGUUUUUGCUUGUUUUGGCCUCUUCCUUUUAAUUAGCUGGAAGAUUAUUGUUCUAAUUAGUUUUUUAUUUUCUGUAAUUUUGUUUUAUAGCUGGUAAGCCCAGGAGCAUGGCUCUGUGAUCUGACCCUAGAACGGUACGAGGUCAGAGAGAAGAAGAUUUCCAAGAAGGUAUUUUAUUGAGUAAUUUUCUUCGAUUCAGGGCCUAAAUCAAAUUUCCUUAAUUUGCCUUUAAUGUUGAUAUUUUUAUGCAGCAGAAUGAAUAGUUUUUUUGUGUUUUUGCAUGAUGCUGCAGAGACCAAGAGGGCUAAAGGCGAUGGGCAACGUGGAGUCUGACUCUGAAUAGAAAGGAGUUUUAGUGAAAAGACUAAUAUAGCAUUUUCGUUUUUUUUCUCCUCCUUUUUUUGAAGGUAUGAGAAAAAUGUUAGAACUUUGUAAAAAUCUUCACCUUUCAACCAUCAGAAUAAUGAAUGGAUUCAUUUCCGGUCCUGUAUACAGUCUUGUUCCUCAUCUUCCUACUAAGUUUGUUUAAUCAGAACAAGAAAAAAAAAACAAAUCAUCACGUCCAAGCACACGAACAAAUGAAAUUUCUCUCUUUCAAACCCUAAUUGUGAAAAAUAAUUAAAAUAAGCUUCAGGGAUGUAAUUCAAGUGGUUAGUCAUGACAUGUUACACAAUCCAACAAUUUUUUGUUUUCUUGUCAACCUACAACACAUUUUCUUAUGUCGUAUUAAGUUAGAAAAGGGAAUUAACGGUGUUGGAUAGUCGUCCAAACGCACGUGAGUGUCUUAUGAUUGUUCAUAUAUUAACAUAUGGGUCUCAGUCUAACAUACAUCGAUGACUUACGGUGGAAGUGCUCAUUAGGCAUGGGCAAAAUCAGUUUCAGACUUCACCAUCCGAGUGAAAAAGAAACUCGAGACUCGAUCGCUCUCAAGAUGUGAAGAAAAUCACGAAAUUGACUCUUGAGACGAGAUUUGAGACUCUUUAGAGGUUAGACUUCAAGAAGGAAGAAGAAAAACAACAAACCAUAACUCUCUUUAGCUGACACACGUAACGUAAAACCACAAUAUAUGAAUUUGCAAAGCUAUUAAAGACAAUGACAUCUAAAAAUUUACCCGAGACAGGAGAAAAACCAGAACCCCAACUCCCUAAAGUUACCUAGUCAUUAGCAAAUUGAAGGGCCACGUCUAAUUUAUAAUGAUAAGAGAUAAUAUCAUUGUUUGGUCGCAUGAUUUGUGGAUGCCACUUUACAUUAUGUGGCCUCCUUAAUUGGUAUUUUGAUGUGACACGGAACACUUAACGCGGUAAUUUAAUUUCUUAACGUAAUUGACAAUUUCAAUGAAAAUCCAUGACCUAUCAUAUCAGACCACCAAACCAAACCCAACUGAAUUAAACUAUUGGAAGAGGAGAAAACAUGGGUCCUAAUUCAAAUUAACAUUCAUAAUUCGCCAUCAUUGACGGGAAGACCCGAAUUAAUCCCCUUAAUUAUGCCACGAAGAAGCAUAAACACAUUUUAAGAAUAACAUCUGCUCUGUGAGAGUUUGUGGAGACAGACAGAUCCACCACCCACCAUCCAGCUGGUUCUCAAAAGGCAAUUCUAAUGCUACCUGCGGGUCGUGAAGAAAAGAGGAAGAUUUUUCAAUUUAAUUAGCCCCCAAAAAAUAGCAUGGAAAAUACCCCCAAAGGGCCCUAAAUAUACCCUUACCCACUGGGCAUAUUUGUCAAUAAACACUGAAAUUAGGGAUUUUUUCAGGACCCAAACACAAUUGCUAUAGUCGGUGACCCAGAGCCUAUCAAAUUAUAAACUCAUUACGUGUUGCAGUUGGAAUUACAGCUUUAUUCUGUUAGAAUAAAUGAUUAAUUUACACCGACUUGGCUACGCCGCUUUUUUGGUCCAAGCGAAAAUAAAAUAAUUGGAUCUGGAUUUGUAAUUUGCCGCUUUUUAUUUGCAGGUAAUGAAAAUGAAAUAACAAUUUGGAUAUUAGUUAAUUUUGAUAUCACAAGCUAGACAAACACCAUUCUCAAAGCAACUCAAGCAUCAAACACAGGAGGAGGAGGAGGAGGAAGACAAACGAAAUAAAAUCAAUGAAUUAUUUACUCAUAAUAAGGAUAAUAAUCGAAAUCCACAAAUACAAAACCCAUAGUAAUAAACCAAGUGCAUUAUAUAUGUAGUCUAUGCACCACAAAAACCCAUAUGACACUGAAAAUCCUAUAGAUCCAUAAUCACCAGCUACUAAAAUGACAAACGCUACUAAUAAAAAACCAAUCAGAAACCCAACCGCUCUCUACACAGCCCCAACCAUAGUUGCAGUAGUAAGCGAAGACUCAAACCCUGAGCGCAGAUCCGAAGACGAUAGCGGCGAAGGCGGCGGCGAAAGCAGAGAUGAACGACGGGGAGAUGGAGGCGGAUGCGGAGGUUGGGCUAGGAGCUGGAGAUUCGGCGGCCUGAGCGGCGCCGAUGACAGAAAGGACGGUGACGAAGACCGCCAUGAGAGCCACGAGUGAAGUUGCCUUUGAGACUGCCAUUGUUGAUUGGUGUGAGAGUUUCUUGUGCUUCGGAAUCUAGGGUUUUGGGAAUACGCCGAGAGACUGAAGCACAAAUAUCAGAGGUGGAAUGAAGUAGGCUCAAGGAACGUAUUUAUAGCGGGGAUUUUGGGCUGGGGUCGGGCAGCCUGGGCAGCUGCCCGGUUCUACAGGCUGGCUACUUGUGAUUGGUUCAGCGCGACAGCUCACACCGCUGGUCGGGGUAAAUUUUUCUCUGUGGGCCCCACUAGAAACCAGUGUCUACGCGGAGUCGUUUCACGCACGAUUUUACCUUCGUCUGAAACGACGCCGUGUGUUCACAUUCCUUAACGAAAGGGCUUUUCGCUUCGCGGCCGAGUCGACUCAGUGGAGAAUAUAUUCGCAAGAAUCUUCUAGCUUGCGACGCGCGGAUCAGAUUCUGUCCGUACGGUGUCAUUUGAGUCACAUCACAUGAUGAACGGUCCAGAUGAACCCGUGGGAACACGUGGGAAUGGAAGAGGUUAUAACGGUUUCGCGGUAAAAAAAUUUGGUUUUUUAUUUAUUUUUAAACUUAAAAAAUGGCCCACAAUGCGCAAUCAGGGAGAUUACAGCGCAGAAAACACAGAGAGGAUGCGUGACUUUCUGGUGAGCGACUCGAUGGCCAACGGGCGAUCGACACGUGGGGAUUUCGAAAAAGACAGGUUGUUAAAUUGCGAGGAAAAAGAUACGACAGGUGUAGGGUGGGAUUUGGUUCUGUUGCUUCUGAUAUUUUUAUUUCGCGGGAUUUCCAGAACAUUCGCUUGGCAUUUUGCGUUUUGGAGUUGAGGGGCGCACAUGCGUGCGGGUGAAGUUACCGUAAUGCCCUUGAGAGUGAUUGGGUGCGUGUCAAUUUUAUAUUCACGUUCAUUAUGAGGAGCUAUGAGUAUCUACUUAAGAAAACCAAAAGGAAUGUGGCGCUGAAUCUGAAUGGGUUUGAAGUCCAUUAAUGCGUUCCAGGGCUUUUCAACAUUUUGUUCCAUAUUCCAUGCCGUGCCCACUGGCUAAUGGGUUUGAUGUGGGCCCAACAUAUUCUUUUCUCGUCAAAUCCAAAUAAAGAGGCCGGGUGUUACGGGAGCUCCUAUAAUCCAGGUCGGUUUAUGUCGUCGAAGUUUCAAUUCAGCUGUCUAAUAAUAAUACUCUUAAAGUGUUGUUGAACGAACUCACAAAUUAACUGUGUUCACUUUACUAAUAAACUAUUUAUUGAAUUAUCAAUUUGCUCUAGUAUAAAAUGACCAAAAAUGAUAUAUUGAAUUGUGAAAUAAAUGUAAUGUUAAUAAAUACACCAUACACUAAAUAAAUAAAUAAAAAUUACACCUUUCUCACUAUAUUCAACCAAAUUGAACUUUUGUUUUCUUUUUCUUUUUCUUUUUCUUUUUCUUUUUUGGGUUUGUUUGUUAACCUCAAUAAUAAUAAAUGAAUAAUUAGGGAGGGACCAACCAUAAAGCCAAGCAGGAUUAACAAAUAUGUAUAGAGAUGGGUUAGUAUUAUGAGACAACCAUCACAAUGUCUGUCUGAUUCAUAUAGAACUGCAUAAUUAAUGACAAUGAUGAUAUUAGUGUGUAUCAGGGGUAUUUUUAAAGUUUUUAUAAUUGUGUAUUAGUGUGUAUCAGGGGUAUUUUUGGUAGUUAAAUAUGGUGUACUUAGUUAAUUUUACAUUUUGAUUUAAAUAUUAAAGUAUGUUUAGAUCAUAGGGUGUACUUAGUUAAUUUCAGAGUUCGUUUAGCAAUGCUCUACUUUUAUUGAUCAGACAACUAUGAAGACUCCCACACUAUAGCCUCAUACAAGUGGUACGCAGCAUAAAUGGGCAUGUAAACCAUAGAGGACCAAGAUAUAGAACCGUUGACGCACGUAAGUUCCACAAUACUGUUAAUAUAUGUGCGGGCGACUCCGAGUAACUGUUAACCUAGAGUCAGAGAAAUGAAAUUCAAAUAUAAAAUAUUUUAUUCUAAUGUCGAUUUCUGAAUACAAAAAUGUGAAUUUGAUGCAGUGCUAAAUAAGGUGUGCUACUUCUCUGUACAUCUGAUACUGAUACUGUUGUGGACGGGGGUUUUGGCCAAAGAGCUAUCAAGUGAACCUCAACUAAUAAUAAUAUUACAGCUGAGGUUGAAUUCUAUGAUGACAAAUAACACACACCACAAACAGGGAAUUUUGCAUGCUCUUCGGCUAGAGAAGUUUGAUUUGACUGAGGAUUUAUGUGUUAGAAGCCCAAAAACUUUGGUGCUAAAUGCAGAAGGGGUUCCAUAGCACUUGGAGCAAAUUUUCUUCCAAAAAGAAAGCAGAUUGAAGAGUUCCGGUCGUUGUAAGUGCAGCGAUGACCCUCGAGCAUUCUCUUGAAGAAUUCCUCAGUGAUAUCAGCUCUUCCAAAGGUAGCUGGGUGAGGUCCACCCCUUGACCAAUCCACCCAAGUGAUGCUUCUGUUUGCUAAGGAAUUCCCUGCUUGAAUGGUUAGCAUGGUGGGGAAAUAGUGCUCAUCAACAUAACAUGCGGGUCUACAGAACUUUUCAAAUUUUUGGUAAAAUGUCGUAUCUUCGACAAUGCUGAUGGCAAGCUUCCGGUUAACUUCAAACCAUUGGGAGCCCUUGCGCCACUGGGUUAUAUUCACUUCAGGUGCCAUGUUAUUAUUAUAGCGUCCUCUCCCGAAUGGCCCAGGGUCGUCAAAUGCACCGAUGAAGCUGUACUUGGAUUUCAUUAAGUAGUGGUAAAUGACACUGAAGUUAUAGAGCGGAAUGCAAGAUUCGGAAACAAGAAUGAACCAUUCAUUGGAUAUGUCAAGCAAUGCAUUAGCAAGGAGCCUUCUCUCAGCAUCACACAUACUCAUUCUUCCCCACUCAGAAACCUGCACAGCAGAAAACCAAAACUCUUAGCAGAUAUGUAAGAGAUAUUGCAUAAUAUCUAUCCAGAUUUGAACAGAAAAAAUUUCUACAGCAGCAACCAAGAUGACCUCAAAGAAAUUAGACAAAACAAGUUAUCCUCAAGCUACAAAGCAACAACAAUAUAAUUUUCCCUGGAUACUCUGUUUUUGAAGCUACUAACUGCGGAUCAUGAGUUUCUCUUUUGUUCAAAACACCCAGGUUAAAAAGUAAAACAAGCAGAGAUUUUAUGGAAUAUGUUCAUGAAUCUGAAAUAAAUACUUGGUAUGUUUCUAUACAAGCUUGAACUCUAUCACAAAGCAUCAUUCACAUAAAUAAUUAAUUUCUUCCUCAUAACCUGAAGGCAGAUAUCAUGACAGUAUGGAAAUGUCAUGAUUGUGGCACGAGAACAAGUCAGGAAUCAAGAACGUAGAUUAAAAAAAAAACAUCAGGACUAUGUGAAGAGGUCCAGGGUGCCACCCCAGUAGUCAAUGCCUUUACAUCAGCUGUUCAUCAUGUACGAAAACAUUUAUGCAUCUGCUUUUUUCAUGUUUAUAAACACAGGUGUUGUAAUAGUCUCAAGAUCCAAAAGUUAGCAGCAGAUGGAGUGGACCUAGUGGAGUUUCACAUGCAGGAUUGUCAAAUUCAUGGAAUAAAGAGUCAAAUCCAUUCACUUAGUUGAGUUUGCACUUGACACACGAGUCCAUGGAACAAAUAGGGCGUCCUGCCCUCCCCAAGAGAUGGUCUAUAUAUCCUACAUCACUGUAAUUCUCAAUACAUGAACAUGAUAAAACUGACCUGUUCCUUUCUACCAACACACAGAAAGGUAGUUUUAACCCUUUCUUUGAUGAUAAGCAAAAAUUACCAACUCUUGGAAAGAUGAAUUUCGGAUUUCAUCAUGUCUUAAGCUUCACAUACAUAACCUAACAUUUUUAAAUGCAAGAGACCAGGGUGUGUGCUCACCACAGAGCAAAUAUAGGAAAUCAAGAUGUGCAGAAAGUAAAAACCAGAUAAACCAGUGAUAGAGAACUAGAUAUCUACGAAUUUACCUCAAAAUAAAAAAUAAAAAAAUAAUUUUGUACUUGCUGAAGGAUGCUUAGUAGAACAUGCAAUCUCACAAAGGAUAGAAUAUGGACCUGGCUAGGAAUGUGUCUCCCAUAAAAAACGGACGAAGUGUGAAAAUGAGGUUGAAAUGACGGCAGUGAAUGAACGUAGAUUGAAUAACGUCCUUCAUGUCCCUUCAGAAACCUCUCCCAAAGGGGUGCCAGCGGCAACGGCCCCCUGGUCAAGAACAUAAAUGCAAUCUUUGGAACUCUCUCAAAAGGAUACUUCUUUAUUCUAGGCAUAAGAGAAGCCCUCCACAAUAAUUCCUUAUCAGUCAUAGUGUGUUGAAGAUUUGAUGGCGGCUUAAUCCACCGGUCCAAACCACUCGGUUCCUCAUAGCAUGGCUGGAAAGAGGACGUGACCGUUGUCAUCACCCCAUUAAUUCCAAAAUGACGAAUCGUCAAUAUGCUAAUGACUGAGAAAGUAAUACAGAAAAGCACAAACAGCACAAACAACUGAAGUAGCCUUAUCGGCAAUGCCUUGGUUUGGUUUGUCCUGCCAGUAACUCCGGGGUCCUUGCCUUCCUCUAAUGGCACAACCCUUGAUUGCAUGGUUUGCAUCUUGAUUAAAACACUGCACCAAAAUCAAUUUCUAGCUCUUCUGAUUACUACAGAGUACCUCCAAGUCUCAAAAUUUUGGACACCUAUUGACUUCUCUCAAACAAGAAAACCCACAGUCCAAAAUUGCAUCUUGCAUCACAAACGGUGAAGUGAACACGAAUUUAAUCACAUUGGAAUCUGAAUCACUCAGUUUUCUUCAAAACUGCAACCCCACCAAAUAAAAACACACUGCACAGAUCUGAAACUAAUACUACAGUACUGAACACAUACUGCGUAAAAAAUUUUAACUUCAGCACAUGGGUUCUUAAUAAACUGAGCUUAUAUCAACGAUCUAAGCUAAGAUCAUACAAAUAUGGAUCGAACUUCUCUUUCACCAGAGAAAAAAGUAUGACAUACCAUGUGACUUUUGAGGUUGAAAGCUAAAUUGAUGAAGACGAAUGAAGGAUUUAGAUCCUUGUAUUUGACUGCUUGAAUUGCGCCCAAGAAUACGGGAAGUGGUCAAUUGGAUGAAGAACAAGAGAACAGAAGGAGGAGGUCACGCAGAGGAGACUUUGGCGGCAGAAACAAAAAGGUGCAGUGACCAAUAAUAAUGAGAGAGUUUGAAAAACUUGGGGAGAAGUCUUGACCGAGUGUGCGCGUUGUGUGUGAGAUGAGAGAAUUGUGAGGAAGACGACGACUCUGUGAUGAUCUGUAGAAUCUCAAGUUUUAAGAAUGUCUCUCACACGGUGCGGUGCGAGUGAGGAGGGAGAGGGGAUCCAGCUUGUCGGCUAACUUGGGAGUGUGAUAUAUAAGCACCCAUCCAGUUUCAUAGCUUGGUGGAAAAACGAACUUGCCUCAUCUGUUGCGUGUGUGUAUUUUUGGGUAAAUUCAUUAGUGACUAAAAUGAUAAAAAUCGACCUUCGGAUGCGAUUACUAUGUUUUGAUUAUUUUUUUUCUUUUUUAGUAGAAGCGAUAGUUUCUAAACUGAAUGAAAGUGGAAUUUCUCACACACACACAUCUAUAAUGUCAUGGAGAUUCAAACUUGAGACCUCUAUUAUGCAAGUUAAAAUUUUUCCACGCAAUAGACCCUGUUGGCGAUACACUUUGAUUUUAAGAUGGGCAGAUAACAAUAGAAACUUUAUUUUAUUUAUUAUUAAUUGCAAGCACCCUAUUGGAACACGUUUCACCCUAUUGGAGCAUAAUUAGCAUCAAAGCAAGAAAAUCAACUAUUUUCCCCCCUCAUAGCCGCAUAAAAGAACAGAUAAAAGGAUAGAGUAUAGAAGCCUAAGUACAGAUGUAAAUGUAAUUAUUGGUUAGAGAUUGGGUUUAGUUUAAACAAGUUAAUGAGGCUUUGAUUGGUUGUUGAAGCUUAAUGUCUUAUGGUGGUGGAGAACCCAAUUGUAUCAAACAACGUAAUAAACACGACGUGGUGUAGUUGGGCAGACCGCAAGUCUUGGCCUCUAGUUAGGUGGGAUUUCAGUUCUUUCACCAAACCAAACAAGCCAUGAGGAAAGCUAAAGAAAGUCUAAAGGUAGGAGCCAUAUGUAGGAUCAAAUCUGCCUAGUAACCAGUUGUAUAUCCCCUUCUGUCUACAACACUUUACAUUACGUAAUCGGUUGCAUAUUUCUAUUCUAUCUGUUUAAAACAAUCAUCAUCUAUAUAUAUAAAGCAAAAGGUAGAGAAUGGUGAAACAUUCAAAAUACCAGAAAAUAUCCUUGGUUAAUGCAAACAUUAAGAACUAAACUUAUUAAUUAAAUGAGGAUAAUAUGGUAAAUUUACACUUUUUAUAAAAAAUUAAAAUUAAAUAAAAAAUAAUGGAUCUUAUUUUUAUGGAACACUUUUUAAUUCUAAAAAAAUUUUAAAUUUUUUUUAAAAAAAUGCCUCUCGCAAGCGCGUGCAGAGAAGCUAGUGUUACAUAAUGAGUGUUGUAGACACGAGAAUACAAAACCGGAGAUAGCUAAGAUUCUCUCCAUAUGUUGAGUCUACACCUACCUACAACCGCAUCUAAGAUUCCCCCAGCAAUAAGGACACAGGGACAGCUGAGGAUCCAAAAUGGUUCAUAUACAUGGGGUCCCGAUCUCGAUCUAAACUUCGUUAAAAAUAAAGUUGAUUGGUUGAUAGAAUCAACCACACUCAAAAAAACAAGCAGUUUUAACUCGAGAGAGGAGUAGAAUCAACCACACUAAAAAAAAUAAGCAGUUUUAACUCGAGAGAGGAGUAGAAUCAUAAAGCCUUCGCUGCUGUGAAUGGCGAUCCUGCAAAACAAUUCAUGAUGUAACUGUGAUUUGCAAAGAAAACCAUCCAUGCAUUCAUUUUGAACGUGUGAUAUAAUAACACGUCAUAUCGACAAUGAGAUCCUUGAAAACUGAGCAACGUCACAACAUUAGGUCUGUAAUUUGCCAGUAUAUCUACUGUCUAUGAAAACGCCAAAGUUGAAGACUAAAACUAAGAUACUACAGAGCGUUUUCUGCUCACAGUCACAGCACAUGAAACAGCUAAGAUGUAGAUGUUUCUAUCUUAUUCACAAAGGAACAGUUAGCUCCACAUCCCAAAUUCUAUAUACCAUGGCAUAUUUCUUGUAGCAUAUACCACUCUACUUCACCACAAAACUGGCACGGAGGUUGGAAACCAUAACUGGGCACUCUCCCUUCUCAUCAUAUUCAACAAAGUCCCCUCCCGACAAGUCAACAUGGUCAAAUUUUGUCCCUUCCACCUACAAGAAUGAACACUAGUUUAAGUUGAAAUAAAGAUGCAUCCAGCAGAGUCGAUUGCAGUACAUAAAAAUGAAAACUAGAACUUCAAAAAUCGAAACUAUUCUCCUAUUUUCAAAAAUUCAACAAUUCAAAUGCAAAAAUUCAAUUCACUGGGGCCUCUAGUAAUUCGUUUUUCACUCCUUGUUUCUUUUUCUAAAUUUCAUUAUCAAUCUAAUUUUCACUUUUAUUCUCCUUGGGGUAGGGAAUGGCGAUAGGCGGGCAUGACACUCCUGGCCAAGCAGAACAGUAAAAAUGAGUUGACAUUUGGUGACACCAUCUCUGGUCCAAUCCACAUGGUAGGCUUCCAUAGUAAAUCUAGUGUACAAGACAAUUAUACUGUUUGUGGGAUGCCCUUAACGUCAGAAAAAUAAAAUAUCACUAUUUUCUGCAGUUCCCACCUCUUGAAUAUGAUAUGCUCAUGAGAUGUACUAACCUUAAGAUCUUUAUGCUAAAGGACAGAGACCUGAGCUUUCUCACCCCAAAAAGAAAGGAUCAGAACUCAAAAGGACAAAAAUACCAAAAUAAGCUUUGAAAGGCGCUACCACAUUAUGGAAUAGGAUAUGCAAUCCUUAAUGCUUAAUGUACUAUGUACUAUAAGUACAAACAAGGAGAGUUAAGAAGAGAAGAAUAAAAGAAUUUAUACAUAUGCGCUGAAGUUCAUAGGAGUUAGUGAGAUUUAGUGCUUAGGAAUGUUCGCACGAUUACUAUUUAUAAGACCAUUCAGCUCAAAGGUCCCAGCAAAGUCAUUUUCCAUCCAUAAGUACAAUAAGAAAGUUUUAUACAAUAUGCUACAUAAUUGGAAGGUGGUGUGUGAAGAAGAGAAACUUACAGAUUCAACCUUCCACCCACUAGCAAAUACAUAGUCCACAGGCUCAUAACCCCUGCACUCAAACAUCAUCAAGGGGGAAAAUUUCCUUUCUUCACACAUUUGCUGGGUCAGUGGUUUACCAUGACCUGGCAUCAUUGUCAGAGUUCCAUCCCUUCCACAAAACUUGCACUACAAGGGGAGAUGCAAAUCACCACACAUAUAUAGCAAACUUAACCAGAAAAUAUUCGUUCAAAGAUAAAACAUAAAGGGAACAACCCCCAUAUCCAUGAAUUGAAGAUAUGCAAUAGUAAUAACUUAUGUCAACGUAGUUGACUCAUAUGUCAUCAAAUAGAAACUGCACAGAGAAAUGUGUUGGAACCCACACAUGUAAACUUUAACCAAGAGAAGAGAAAUGAAAUCCCGAUAAAAUCUCAAAGUUGUCGCUACAAUUAGGCACCCAAACAAACAAAGCAUUUGCUCAACCAAACAAGCAUACUACAGAAAACACAAACUACCAUAACUCUUCUGUUCCUUUCCUUCUAUUUCCUCAGAAACUAAAUAUACUUCAAUAAGCUCUUAAAUUCCAAAGCCCAUUGAGCAAUUAGUAGAGAGAGAGAGAGAGAGAGAGAGAGAGAGAGAGAGAGAUAAUGGUUACCUUCUGAACGAGAUUAACGGUUGCCUUGCCCGAUGGAAGAGGAACAGUCUCGUUCAAGCUCACACAAGUUUCCCUCUGGCUCAGCUCUCCACACCUCUCACAUUUCAACUGCAAGAUUACAAAAAGAAUAGAAUCAUGUUAAUAAUGACUAUAUCAAGCUCGGGAGACUAAGCGACGAACAUCGACGUCAAUUUUAAGCUACAACCCCUAGAAAUCUGAACACGAACACCAACUAUAAUGACAAAAUCGACUGCAUUUUUGGAGCAAAAAACUUGACGAAAGGAAAUGAAGGUGACCUUGAAGAGAUAGGAAAAGUUGGGGUCGUUGCAGCCUUCCUGGGGCUGAAGGUUCGUCAGGUUCUCGAGGUCCGCAGCGAUCUGAAGUAAAAAUUUCACCAUUUUCGAUUUGGCGUCAAUCUCGAGCUGCUCACCGCGUCUUUGUCUCACUGUGUGUAGCUAGUGGCAGGAUGAGUAAUAAAUAAGGGGGGCUUGGGCGACGAAUAGACGCUAUCAGUUAAACGGCGUCGUUGUGCGGAAUUUAAUUUUUUUCCGACACGGGGAUUUUUAGCUCAAGUUAACUACAAUUUACCCUAAAAUCGAUGGCCUAUGUUCGAAUCAUCUUUCUUAAUAUCGUUUGUAUUUUAAAAAAUAUUAAAUUAUAUGAAUCAUAUUGUGAUACCUGUUACAAAGAGAAGUUUAAUAUUAUGAAAGUCUUUCAAGUAGCAAAUGUGAAUUAGGUCAGUUAGUCAAAGUAGUGUGUCCAUCUUUUUUCACAUUAGUUUUUAGAUUUAUGAUAAUAGUACUUCAUUUGAAAUUUUGAAGGCCAUUGAAGUGAAGGAACCAAAGCAAUAUUGUAGGAAUUUAACAAUCAUUUUGCCAUUCUAAUUUGUGAGGACACGUCAUAAUGUUAGUCCUCAUACCAUUUUCCAUUUUACACACCGCAGUUCAAAUAUUGGACCAAAAAACAAAACGAAAUUGGCAUGAUUGGAAGGUGAACCAUGCAAAGUUUGCAGAUAUGUAAUCAGAAUCAUGUGCUACAUAUUAUGGAGGCACUGUCCUUGAAGAGAUUCAACUAGUGUUGGGAUCUUAGCCCAUCUCAUAUACUGAAAGAAAGAUAAUUUCCAUUUCAUGAUUUUGGGUGUUUGUGAUUAGUUAACAACAAAUUAAUGGGGGGAAGGGGGUUGUUUGGUGGUGAAGGGAUUGGAAUAAGGGGCAUAAUGGUAAUUAUGUUGGGAGCAACUGUGACUCUUAUUAGAUGUGGGGUGCUUGUGGAGGGUAAGUUGUUCUCUAAACAGAAGAUUUUGGAAGCCGAAAGACAAUUAAACCAACUUAGAAGGCCUGCAGUUAAAACCAUUCAGGUAAGAAUUGUCCAGAACUUGAGCCCUUCACAUAAGUUUUCUGCAUUGUAUUCAUUUACUCAGUUCAUAUUAAUCUCUAUGAUUGCUUGUAGAGUGAAGAUGGUGAUAUCAUUGAUUGCAUUGACAUCUACAAGCAGCCAGCUUUUGAUCAUCCUGCUCUCAGAAACCACACCAUCCAGGUCUGCCUUCUGUUGUGCAAGUUGAAAGUAGACAAAGAUUUACUCUGCAACUUUAAUCUUUUUGCUACCAUAUAACAACUGCUUUGAGUCUUUUUUUCAGAUGGCACCAACAUAUGAUACAACCAAGGAGACAAAGACAAUGAAAAAAAUGGACAGAUGGAAGAAGAGGAAUGAAGAACAAUCUCCCAUUACCGUGAAGCAAACAUGGCACAAAAGUGGAAGCUGUCCUCAGGGAACAAUCCCGGUCCGAAGAAUCCAGAAAAAGGAGCUUCUGAGAGCUAGCUUGGUUAAGGACUAUGGAAGAAAGAAGCACAGUUCUACCUUGUCUCGUCAUGUUUCACAGUUAAGUGACAACAAAACUGUGUACCUUCAACGAGCAAACCACUCGGUACAUCAAUUCCCCACACACACAUUUUUAAUUCAUUGGAAAAUUAACUACAACUAUACACCUAAUGAAGAGGGUUUUUUUUUCUCUGUGUGUAAUUUGUGAUGGCAUCAGAAGGCAAUAUUGUUUACAGAAGGGUACAGAUAUAAUGGAGCCAAAGGAGACAUCAAAGUUUAUAACCCAUCUGUCGAGCUUGAUGAUGAAUAUAGUACUUCUCAAGUUUGUCUCAUAAAUGGUGCUUAUUAUGACUUUGAGAGUGUUGAAUCUGGAUGGGCGGUAUAUAUAUAUUAACAUAAUAAACCCUUUCACUUUCAUCUUGAAGCUACUUACUUCUUCUGUCAUAUUAUGUUCAUGGCAUAACUUUUUAGUCUGAAAAAUUACUCUAAUCCCUCUUCAGGUAAAUCCCAGUGUAUACGGGGACAGACAGACUCGAUUUUUCGUGUAUUGGACUGUAAGCAGCCAUGAAUAAAGACUUAACAUUCAUGCGAGUAAUUCCACUAGAUUUGAUGUGAUUUCUGAUGUUUCUGCAGGUUGAUGGCUCACAGAAAACUGGUUGCUUUGAUCUCACUUGUCCUGGAUUUGUUCAGACUAGCCAUGAAAUUGCUCUUGGUGCAGCAAUCCAUCCAAUCUCUGUUCCUCAUGGGCUUCCAUAUCAAAUAAUAGUCUACAUCUACAAGGUCAGGUCAACAGUUUAACAACAUAACGCGCUUGAUGAACAGUUUAGCAACAUAACAUGUCUAACAUUAUUCGUAAUACUAAAUAAGUUUUCCUAUCGUAUCUUCAAUUGAAUUUCUUUUUUGUUUUGCCUCCAAAUUUAGGAUCCAGUAACAAGCAACUGGUGGGUGCAAUAUGGGGAGAGAAUUAACAUCGGUUACUGGCCGCCGGAGCUGUUUGUUUUAUUGAGCUACCAUGCAACAAGUGUUGAAUGGGGAGGUGAAGUUUAUAGCUCAAGAGUGGGAACUACGCCUCACACAAGAACAGAUAUGGGCAGUGGACACUUUGCUGAGUCAUCAGUUUGGGGGACUUCAGGCGUCAUAAAAAGAAUUCGAGUACAUGAGAAUUCACCUGGGCUGAAAUUCCCUGAUAUAGUUAAUACUUUGAUGGAUGAGUUCAACUGUUAUGAUGUCAAGUAUCUUUCGGAUUAUGUUGAAGAUCCUGAGUUCUAUUAUGGAGGGCCUGGUAGAAAUUAUAUGUGCCCUUAAGCUUAUGUUAACUUUGCUAGGACUUGUUUAAGACCCCAUUAGAAUGGGUAAUUAUGUUGUUUUAAACUUUCAUUAGUUAUUUUUUCAAUAUCAAACUCUGUAAACCCCAUCUUAUUUCUCAAAAUGACAUAGUUUUAGACAUAGACACGAUACAAGCACUAAAAACACAAGUGGAUAAUCCUAUUUCGUCCCCAAAAGGAAAAGCCUUAGAGAGUGGAAAUCUCCUAAUAAAUUGGUAAAAAUUAGGCAUAUUAAUUUUAAUUUCUAUCCAGAGGUUGCGCAAUAUUUGAAUUCAGAUUUAGAGGGAAGUGAAGUUUUUGGUGUAUAGGCAUCGAUUGUGUGUUACACUAACAUAACAUGUAUAACUUUGCACAAACGACUUGGAAUUUCAUUUUUUAUAUAUAUAAUAAUCGAGAAAAAUAUUUGUCUCAUUUCUUAAAAUGAGUCAUUCCUCCUUACAUGCAAAUUACAAUUUGACAUGAUCUACACGUGUUAGGUUGACUCGUUUAAUUCUACUAUUGACACGUAGCAUUAUCUCCUAAUAACAUAGAAAUUUAACAAUCAUACUGUAGAAAUUUAACAAUCAGUUCAUACUGUAGAAACCAAGCCAUACUGUAGAAAUUUAACGAUCAGUUCUUCUUUGGCUAAAGAUUUAUGUAGCUGGGUUUACCAAGGUUAAGGACACACUUGUCCAAAUAUUCAACAGCUACCAUUUUGAAUUUAACACUUGGCAAUUCAAAUAUAGAAUAAAAAUGUGAAAUUUGCAUGAUUUGGAAGGUGAAUCAUGCAAAUUUUGCAGUAUAUGUAGUUUGCAGAAGAUAUGUAUGCUGCACAUUGUGGGUGGCAUUGUCCUUAAAUAACCUAAGCUUAACUUAGAUUCUGAAAGCAAGAUAAUCAGUUUCCAUUUUAUGAUUUUGGGUAUUUAAAUUACCUGAGAUUUAGUAUAUAAUCAAACAAAUGGGGAAAGGGUUGUGUAGUGGUGAAGUGAUUAGAUUAAGGGGGAUGAAGAUGAUGGUAAUUAUGUUGGGAGUGACAGUGACUCUAAUUAGAUUUGGGGUGCUUGUAGAGGGUGAUUUGUUCUCUAAACAAAAGAUUUUGGAAGUUGAAAGAAAAUUAACCCAACUUAGAAGACCUGCAGUUAAAACCAUUCAGGUUUGAAUUGUCCAGAAUGAGCCCUCCACACAUAAGUUUUUUUAUUAUUGUAUUCAUUCUCAGCUCAAAUGAUUGUUUGCAGAGUGAGGAUGGUGAUAUCAUUGAUUGCAUUGACAUUUACAAGCAGCCAGCUUUUGGUCAUCCUGCUCUCAGAAACCACACCAUCCAGGUCUGCCUUUCUGUUGUUCUAGCUGAAAGUAAAAAAAAGAAAAGAUUUACUCUGCAACUUCAAUCUUUUUACUACCAUAUAACAAGUGGUUUGAGUCUUUUUUUAGAUGGCACCUACAUAUGAUGCAACAAAGGAGACAAAGACAAUGGGAAAAAUGGACAGAUGGAAGAAGAGGAAUGAAGAACAAUCUCCCACUACAGUGAAGCAGACAUGGCACAAAAGUGGAAGCUGUCCUCAGGGAACAAUCCCGGUCCGAAGAAUCCGGAAAAAGGAGCUUCUGAGAGCCAGCUCGGUUAAGGACCAUGGAAGAAAGAAGCACAGUUCUACCCUGUCUCGUCAUGUUUCAGAGUUCAGUGACAACAAAACUGUGAACCUUCAACGAGCAAACCACUCGGUACACCAAUUCUCCACACACACAUUUUUUAAUUAAUUGGUAAAUUAACUACAACUAUACAUCUAAUGGAGAGGGGUUUUUUUGUUUUUUGGUUUUUGUGUUUGUGUAAUUUGUGAUGGCCUCAGAAGGCAAUAUUGUUUACAGAUGGGUAUAGAUAUAAUGGAGCCAAAGGAGACAUCAAAGUUUAUAACCCUGCUGUUGAGCUUGAUGAUGAAUAUAGUACUUCUCAAGUUUGUCUCAUAAAUGGUGCUUAUUAUGACUUUGAGAGUGUUGAAUCUGGAUGGGCGGUAUAUAUAUUAAAAUUAAUAAACCUUUUCACUUUCAUCUUGAAGCUACUUACUUCUGUUACAUUUUAAGUUCACGGCAUUACUUUUUAGUCUGAAAAAAUGCUCUGAAUCCCUUCAGGUAAAUCCCAGCGUAUACGGGGACAGACAGACUCGAUUUUUCGUAUACUGGACUGUAAGCUGGCAUGAAUCAUAAAUUAGUUUUCAUAUGAGUAAUUCCACUAGAUUUGAUAUGAUUUCUGAUGUUCCUGCAGGUUGAUGGUUCAAAGAAAACUGGUUGCUUUGAUCUCACUUGUCCUGGAUUUGUUCAGACUAGCCAUGAAAUUGCUCUUGGUGCAGCCAUCUAUCCAAUCUCUGUUCCUAAUGGGCUUCCAUAUCAAAUAAUAGUCUACAUCUACAAGGUCAGGUCAAUAAUUUAACAACAUAACGUACCUAACCGAUAGUUUAGCAACAUAACAUGUCAACAUUACUACUUGUAACACGAUAAUAGGUUUUCUUCUCGUAUCUUCGAUUGAAUUUCUUUCUGUUUUUGUCUCCAAAUAUAGGAUCCGGUAACAAGCAAUUGGUGGGUGCAAUAUGGGGAGAAAAUUAACGUCGGUUAUUGGCCGCCGGAGCUGUUUGUUGCACUGAGCUACCAUGCAACGAGUGCUGAAUGGGGAGGUGAAGUUUAUAGCUCAAGAGUGGGAACAACUCCUCACACAAAAACAGAUAUGGGCAGUGGACACUUUGCUGAUUCUGUUUGGGGGACUUCAGGCGCCAUAAGAAGAAUCCGAAUACAUGAGAAUUCACCUGGGCUGAAAUUCCCUGAUAUAGUUACUACUUUGAUGGAUGAGUUCAACUGUUAUAAUGUUAGGUAUCUGUCAGAUUAUGUUGAAGAUCCUGAGUUCUAUUAUGGAGGGCCUGGCAGAAAUUAUAUGUGCCCUUAAGCUUAGCUUAGCUUUGCUAGGACUUGUUUAAGACCCAUUAGAAUGGGUAAUUAUGUCGUUUUAAACUUUCAUUUAUUUUUCCAAUAUAAACUAUAAAAACCCAAAACUCUUAUCCUCAAAAUAACGUAGUUUUGGACAUAAACACCAAAAACACAGAUGAUUCUAUUUGUGAGAAUGUGAAGGUAAAGAGUCCCACAUUGGAAAGUUGAGAAACCUAGCAAGGGCUUAUAAGGAGUUGGGUUACUCCCCCCAUUGCCAAUUGGUUUUGGGGUAGAACCUCAACUUCCUUCAUGGUAUCAGAGCAAGGCUUCACAUGUUGAGCCCAACAGCCACACGUGCUCCCACGUCACCCAAUAUGUGUUGUCCACGUGUUAGGCUUGAAAGUUCGCCACACGUGCGGGGGCGUGUUGAGAGUGUUUGUCCCACAUUGAAAUGUUAAGGGACCUAGCCUGGGUUUAUAAGGAGUUGGGCAACUCCCCCCAUUGCCAAUUGGUUUUGGGGUGGAACCUCAACUUCCUUCAUGGUAUCAGAGCAAGGCUUCACGUGUUGGGCCCAACGGCCACACGUGCUCCCACGUCACCCAAUAUGUGUUGUCCACGUGUUAGGCUUGAAAGUUCGCCACACGUGCGGGGGCGUGUUGAGAGUGUCACGUGCUCCACGUCACCCAAAAUGUGUUGUCCACGUGUUAGGCUUGAAAAUUCGCCACACGUGCGGGGACGUGUGAGAAUGUGAAGGUAAAGAGUCCCACAUUGGAAAGUUGAGAAACCUAGCAAGGGCUUAUAAGGAGUUGGGUUACUCCCCCCAUUGCCAAUUGGUUUUGGGGUGGAACCUCAACUUCCUUCACUAUUUCAUCCCAAAAAAGAAAAGCCUUAUGGAGUGGAAAUCUCCUCAUUAAUUGGUAAAAUUUUGCGUUAGUUACUUACCAUCUUCAAUUUGACCGAAGUUCUAUCCAAAGGUUGCACAAUAUUUGAAUUUAGAUUUAGAGAGAAGUGACGUUUUUGGUGUAUUGGCGUCGAUUAUGUAUACAUUAACAAGUUCAAUUUUGCACAAAGGACUUGGAAUUUUUUUAUUUUUUUUAUAAAUAAUAAAUCAAGAAAAAUAUUUGGUUCCUUGUUAAAAAUGAGUCAUUCAUUUUCAGAAUGCAAAUUAAUUUGACAUGAGUGUAAAUUUUUUAACAUGCUUUUAAUAAGUUAUUUAUGUAUAAGUGUUAAGUUGCGAUUUGAAUGUAAGGAGAAACGACUCAGUUAGUUCUAUAAAUCAAACUAGAAGAAACACAUACACAUCCGUGUGUAAUUUGCUAAUUUGUAAUACCGGUUGCAAAGAGAAAGUAGGUAUGGUGGAAGCCUUAAAAGUCCCCCAAUACAUUGUAUAGCCGUGCGGCUCUACUUUUAAAAUUUUCUAUUUAUAAAGUAUAGCCGGCUAUACCCUAAAAACGCCGUGAAAGCAAAUUCUUUCUUUAUAUAUACUAGCCUCUCUACACGCGCUUCCGCGCAUGCGAGAGGUUUUUUUAAAAAAAAUUUUAAAUUUAUUUUAGAAUUAAAAAAGAUAAUAGAUAUUUGUGUUCCAUAAAAAUAGGAUCCAUUAUCUGAAUUUUCUUUUUUUUUUAAUUUUUUUAAUGCGAAAAAUUGUGAAUUUACCAUAUUAUCCUCAUUUAAUUAAUAAUUUCAAUUCUUAAUGUUUGCAUUAACCAAGGGUAUUUUCUGGUAUUUUGAAUGUUUCACCAUUCUCUGCCUUUUGCUUUAUAUAUAUAGAUAGAUAUAUACAUUACCGCCCAAUAGAUUUGUAAUUCAAAGCCGUGCGGCUAUACUAUUUUUUAUAAUAACAACCAUAGUAUAGCCGACCGGCUAUACCCUUUUUAUUAUAUAAAAAAAAUCCGAGUAUAAGUACCAUUUUUAAAAGAGGACCCACUGGAGCCUAGCGCCCCCUUUUGCCAUGUGUCAAAAAUAGUACAGCCGAGCGGCUAUACGCAAUUAAUUAUAAAAAAAUAAGUGUAGCCGAGCGGCUAUACUAUUUAUAAUAAAAAAGGGCCACCGCUUAACGAGCAUGGCCAAAGUAUAGCCGCGCGGCUAUACUCUAUAAAUAUAAUAUUCUGAAGGUAUAGCCGGUUGGCUAGACUCAUACUCGUUUGCCCGUAAUUUGUUUUUAAAAAGUAUAGCCGACCGGCUGGACUCGGCAUUUUCUUAAUUGUUUUUUAAAAAUAGUAUAGCCGAGCGGCUAUACCCGGGUUUUUAAUUUUAUUUUAGGGUUCAGGGUUUAGGGCGGCUAUACUCGUUUUCCCCUAAUUUUUUUAAGAAAUAGUAAAGCCGAGGGAAGGAAUCAAGCCAUAUUGUAGAAAUUUAACAAUCAUUAAUUCAUUGGCUAAAGAUUUGUGUAGCUAGGUUUAACCAAUUCUAAGGAAUUGUUUAAAUAUUCAACAGGAUACCAUCUUGAAUUUAACAUGUGACAAUUCAAAUAUUGAAUAAAAAUGUGAAAGUUGCAUGAUUGGAAGGUGAAUCAUGCAAAUUUUGCAGAUAUAUAUAGUUAUCAGAAAAUAUAUAUAGGUUUAGGAAGAUAACCCAAGCUCAUCUUAGAUUCUGAAAGGAAGAUGAACAAUCUCCAUUUUAUAAUUUUGGGUAUUUGAAUUACCUGAGAUUUAGUACAUAUCAGACAGAGUUUAGUUAACAAAAAAUGGGGAAAGGGUUGUCUGGUGGUGAAGUGAUUAGAUUAAGGGGGAUGAUGGUAAUUAUGGUGGGAGUGACAGUGACUCUAAUUAGAUGUGGGGUGCUUGUGGAGGGCAAUGUGUUCUCUAAACAGAAGAUUCUGGAAGUUGAAAGAAAAUUAACCCAACUUAGAAGGCCUGCAGUUAAAACCAUUCAGGUUUGAAUUGUCCAGAACUUGACAUAAGUUUUCUUCUCAUUGUAUUCAUUUAAUCAGCUCAUAUGAUUGCUUGUAGAGUGAGGAUGGUGAUAUCAUUGAUUGCAUUGACAUUUACAAGCAGCCAGCUUUUGACCAUCCUGCUCUCAGAAACCACACCAUCCAGGUCUCCCUUGUAUAAGUUCUAGUUGAAAGUAAACACAUUUUUCUUCUCUGUGACAUUAUAUAUUUACUGAUAAUCUAACAAAUGCUUUGAGUCUUUUUUCAGAUGGCACCAACAUAUGAUCUGACGAAGGAGACAAAGACAAUGACAAAAAUGGAUAGAUUGAAGAAAAGGAGUGAACAAUCUUCCGUGACAGCAAAGCAAACAUGGAAGAAAAGUGGAAGCUGUCCUCAAGGAACGAUCCCAGUCCGAAGAACUCGAAAAAAGGACCUGCUUAGAGCUAGCUCAGUUAAGGACUAUGGAAGAAAGAAGCACAGUACCCUGUCUCGUCAUGUUGCAGAGCCUAGUGACAACAAAUCUGUCUACCUUCUACGAGCAAACCACUCGGUACAUUAACUUCCCAUUUUCACAUUUUUAAUUGAUAAAUUAAUCACAUCUCAUGAAGAGGGGUUUUUUUUUUGUUGGUAAUUUGUGAUGUCCUCAGAAGGCAAUAUUGCUUACAGAAGGGUACAGUUAUACUGGAGCCAAAGGAGACAUAAAAGUUUGUGCCCCUUCUGUUGAGCUUGAUGAUGAAUAUACUACUUCUCAAGUUUGUCUCAUAAACGGUCCAAGUUUUGCCUUUGAGAGUGUUGAAUCUGGAUGGGCGGUAUAUUAACAUAAACCCUUUCACUUUCAUCUUGAUGCUACUUACUUCUGUUACAUUCUAUGUUCAUGGCAUAACUUUUAGUCCGAAAAAUUACUUGGAAUCCCUCUUUAGGUAAAUCCAAGCGUCUAUGGGGACAGAAAUACUCGAUUUUUCUUAUACUGGACUGUAAGUUGACGUGUUUCAUGACUUAGUUUUCAUGUGAGUAAUUCCACUAGACUUGAUGUGAUUUCUGAUGUUCCUGCAGGCUGAUGGUUCAAAGAAAACUGGUUGCUUUGAUCUUACCUGUCCUGGAUUUGUUCAGACUAGCCAUGAAAUUGCUCUUGGUGCAGCAAUUUAUCCAAUCUCUGCUCCUGAUGGGCUUCCAUAUGAGAUAAUUGUCUACAUCUUCAAGGUCAGCUCAACAGUUUAGUAACAUAACAUGUACAGUUUAGCAACAUAUAUAUCUGAUAUCUGAAAAAGACAAUGUAAUAUUAAGUGUUCUUCUCAUAUCUUCGAUUGAGUUUCUUUUUUAUUUGCUUCCAAAUUUAGGAUCCAGUAACAAGCAAUUGGUGGGUGCAAUACGGGGAGAGAAUUAACAUCGGUUAUUGGCCUCCGGAGCUGUUUUUUGCAUUGAGCUAUCAUGCAACAGGUGUUGAAUGGGGAGGUGAAGUCUAUAGCUCAAGAGUUGGAACUACUCCCCACACAAAAACAGAUAUGGGGAAUGGACGCUUUGCUAGUACUGCGGGAUUUUCAGGUGUCAUAACAAGAAUGAGAAUACAUGACAAUUCACCUGCACUGAAAAUCCCUGAAUGGGCUGAGACUUACAUGGACGAGUUCAAUUGCUAUGAUGCUAUCUAUGUUGAAGACUACGUUGAAGAUCCUGAGUUCUAUUAUGGAGGGCCUGGUAGAAAUUAUAAGUGCCCUUAAACUUAGCUUAGCUAGGAAUUGUUUAAGACAACACAAGUCGAUAAUACAAUUUCGUCCCGAAAGGGAGAACAUUUCCAAUUAUCAAUGUUUACCAAAAUGGCAUAUCAGCUUAAUUUCCAGGUUUCCAAAUGAGGUUUUUUUCUUGGUAGGUAACAUGGAAUCUGUGUUUGUAUGUAGUCGGUAUAGCAUAUCUUAGAAGAAAGUGAGACAGAAAGGUAACAGAGAUGUUAAGCAAAUGUCCACGAUUCACAAUAUGUGACUCUCUAAAUUAAAUGAAGGGACAAAAUGCUGCUAAUGGGAACAUCUUAAUUCACUGGAUAAAGAUAAAACCCGUUUUCUGUACAUGCAAUUAUGUCCAAAUAUUGCACCAAGACAAGAGUACUUAUUAUGUUUCUAUAUUUAAGAGAGGCGUGCAUGAACUGCACAUUUGACAUGUGGAUGAAGCCGCGAGGACUUGCAUCAUAUAUAUAAUAACACAUUAUCUUCUUUCUUUUCAACCAGACAUGCCUUCAUUUGGUUUCUCAAAGGUUAAUUUUACCACCUAAUUAUCCUGUUAAUUUUAUCUAUAGCUUGAUUGUAUCUCUCUGUGUGUACAAGAGUGUAAGUGAGACACAAAAAGAGAUUGAAGAUGGGGAAGAAGAGGGCUUUAAUGUUCUCGUUAGCAUUGGGAUUGUUUGUUUUUUGUGUUAGUGCAGCAGAACAUCACCAUGUGAAGGCUAAAACUAAACGAAUUUCUUUGGAAGUUCAUAAGAAGUUGAAGCUUUUGAAUAAGCGUGGCGUGAAGACUAUCAAGGUCUGAUUUUCUGCCAUUUUUAUUAGCUUUCUGACUAAUCACACUUUCACAGAAUUUUAUCUAUAUCAGAUCUGUUAUACAAUUUUCUUUCAGCAGUCUUCUCCAUUUCAAAAUUUAGCUCAACCCUUUGUGCUAUUGCCUCUGCUGUCUUAAAUUUCACAAUUUCUUCUUUGUUGUGCUACUGCUAUGACUUGGUAAGCUCAGAGGACUGACUGUAUGUUUUACCACUUGAUUAUUUGAUUUCUUGCAGAGUGAGGAUGGAGAUAUCAUUGACUGUGUUGACAUCUACAAACAGCCUGCUUUUGAUCAUCCGGCAUUGCGCAACCACAAAAUUCAGGUCGACUUUUAAACCUUUGUACAUUUGGAGAAUGUAUGAAACAAAAAAUAAAACAUUCUCCAAGUUUUAAAAACGUUUUAAAAACAAUCUCCAAGUUUUAAAAACGUUUUAAAAACAAUCAUGUUUUCUUCCAAAUGUUGAUAUAGUUGGUGUAUAAUAUUGCAGAUGAGACCCAGUAAUCAUGUACAAAAUGAUCAUAAUUCUUCUCAGCUGGUAUCUCAAAUUUGGCAAAGGAGCGGAAGCUGUCCAGACGGAACCAUUCCCAUUCGGAGAAUUCGAAAGCAAGAUUUAUUGAGAGCUACUUCACUUGAAAACUUUGGGAAGAAAAUGCCAGUGCAUUCUUCCUACUCCCCCACAGAUGACAAGGGCACUGUGUACAUCAACAGCACCCGAGUCGAACUCGGGCCUCAAGUCAAUCGUUCAGUAAGCAAACAUCGUGAAGAUUUAAUUAACAAAGUUUACUUUGAUCCUUGUCUAACUUGUGCAAAACUGUGUUUGCUAGGCUGCUAUCCUGUUAACUACUGGAUACAAUUACAUAGGUGCUCAAGGAGAUAUAAAUAUUUGGACUCCAAGAGUUGAAUCACCAGAUGAGUUCACUACUGCUCAAAUCUGGCUUAAGAAUGGACCUGGAGAGGCUUUUGAAAGUGUAGAAUCAGGCUGGGUGGUAAGUAGUAUAUUAUGGUAACUUCAUUUGGAAAAUAUUACUUUUCAACUAUCAGUUCCUCAAAAUCACUCCAUAUAUGUGUAUAUAACUGCUACUCUUUUUUGCUCCUCUUCGUUUGGCUUUGGACAGGUAAACCCAAAGGUAUAUGGUAAUGGAGCAACUCGACUUUUUGUAUAUUGGACUGUAAGUACUUCAUUACAAAAUGAUCAAAAGAACAGGAAAAUGUAGCAUAUAUUAUGUUUGCUCCAUCUGAAAUGUGCCUGCACUUAAUUCUUCUUUUUUUUUUUGGGUUUUUUCAGAAGGACUCAUACAAAUCAUCAGGCUGCUUUGAUCUCACCUGCCCAGGAUUUGUGCAAACCAACAAAGACAUAGCCCUUGGUAUGGUCCUUGGACCUGUAUCAUCUAAAAUGGGACCCCAAUAUCAAACCACCUUCAGCAUCACCAAGGUUUGAAAAUCUUAAUCACUUUUCGUGCAUUCAAAUCAUUUCCAUUGUUAGUCAACGGGAUUUAGCCCAGUGAAAAGGGCUUUGACUUGCAAACCAGUGGUCUCAAGUUCGAAUCCCCAUGGCACAUUGACAGUUGCAUGUGCGAGAAAAACCCAUCCCCUUCCUAAAUUUGACGCACAAAAAAUACAUUUCCAUUGUUGAACAAAAAUGUGAUGGUUUAAAACAUACGUUGUAGGAACCAAGCACAGGAAAUUGGUGGGUGCGUAUUGGCCAAAACGUUCCUGUGGGAUAUUUUCCUGGAGAGCUCUUCUAUUAUUUGACACGCGGUGCUGCAACAUUAGUUGAAUGGGGAGGAGAAGUGUUUAGCUCCAAGGUGAAGCAAAAUCAUCCACACACUGCAACAGGGAUGGGAAGUGGAGAUUUUGCAUCGGGCAAAUUGGGCAAUGCAUGCUAUGUGAAGCAAGUUAGGAUUAUAGAUUAUUCAAAGCAAUUGAAGUACCCAGAAUGGGUAGGCACUUAUUCAGAUGAAGAGUAUUGCUACUCUGCAUUGAACUACGCUCUGUCACUUGCUCAAGAACCUGUGUUCUACUUCGGCGGACCGGGUCGAAAUCCUCCUUAUUGUCCCUAAGUUGUUCAUAAUCUCAAAUGAGGACGCUUAAUUUCCAUAGUUUUUUCUUGAAAUAAUGUCCAAAUAUAUGAUGGCUUGAGCCAAUGUAGCAAGACUAUUUUAUAUUUGAAGCCUAUUGUUAUUGAUUUAUAUGUGAUCAGAAAUGGACUUAUAAUUUUGGUCCCAUUGUCUGCGAUCCUCUUGCAUUGCUCACUGGUUGUGCUUUCACAGAGAUACAUCUACAUAUAUGAGCAUAUAAAAGCCAAAUUACAAGAGAUUUAUCAACAUAAUUGGUCUAAUAGCCCUAUUAACUUUAUUGGCCUCCUCACAUUCUGAGGUUUCGAAUGAUUAGGUUUUUUUUUUCUUUCUUAUUUUAAAUUUGGUGAAUAAUUAAAAUGGAUUUUGAGUUUGGUAAUUAAGGUGAUCACUUGUUCAGUAUUGACAAAGCUUGGAUCGAAAGUAACAUAAAAGGACGGUACAAUUUCUGGAACUUGAUUUUCACUUUUUAGCUUGAACUUCCAGACAACAAUAUCAGAUAUUCAAAAAUGGACAAUUACUCCUAUUACCCAAAUAGUUGCUACCUAUGCCCAAUAACACAAUACAUGAGGGGAAAUAUCGCAUAUUCAGAUUACACUGCUCAGGUUGUGGUAUUCCAGAGGUAUACAAGAUAUACAUAUACGAAGAAUAUACAAUCACAAGAUCAAGAAAUAAGGAAAACCCCAUUACAGAAUAUCAUACCAAAAUGGCCAGGCCACACCAACUUCGAUGAGACCAAUAUCAUUUGCAAGCCAAUGAGAGAAAAUCAGCUAGAUCGAAUCAUGCUGUUUUCUCUCUUCUUGUAUAGAUUGGAAAAUACGAGCAGCUGAUGCAGUUGCAGUUCUUGGAUUGUGUGGCACAACUCUAAUCGCUCGUGUUGGCUGGCCUGAAUCAUGAGGUUGGGCAACUCCUUCUGGAAUUACCGGAGCCAUUGGAAAAAGUUGAAGAGCAUCACUUCCUUCAGCAUUUUGAUCUGUCCCCAAUCGUGCUGUGUCACCUGGACUAUUUGCAGUACUUCCUUGUAGCUCACUGUCGUUAGAUGCCUGAAACAUCAUGGCAUGAGGAAUAGCUCCACUUUUCUGGGAUGGCAUAUUGCAUGAGCUUUGAUGCUGCACAUUAGAGUUUGUUCCCCCUCCUGAUAACUGAUCGAUUUGACCAUGUGAACCAGGUCCGGCAAACCAAUGCAUUUGUUCAAUGCCUGAGCUUGGCAUGGCUGGAUUCAUAACGGACAUGCCAUAUGGAGGAAAGUAAGUAUGGCCUAAUGGAGGAGGGGCAGGAAGAACCCCCGUCCCUUGAUGAUGAUGAGAAGCUGGAACCCCAUAGUUUGGCUUAACAAAGUUACCCGUCAUGGGAGUUGAGUUGAAAGGUCCACAUCCUCCACAAACUGGUCCCAUAAAUCCAGGUCCAUGAUAUGGCUUAUAUACAAGUCCUUCAGAGGGAGACAUUACAGGAAUUAACAACUGGUGUCCAGGUGAUUGAUGGAAACACCAAGGACUGGCUUUAUUAUCAGUACCGACAGGUGUUGGCUGUGGGUUCCCUACAUAUGGCCCAUAAUUUGAAGUCUGACUACCAUUUUUCACAGAAGAAAGAGAUGUUUUCCCAACUGCAUUUUCUGCGGAACAUUCAAUUUUGUUGUUUGGCUUCUCAGGUUCAUGUUUGCGCUUUACAACACGUAGUAGUGGCUUUACAACAUACUCUGAUGAAAGUUUCUUUGCAGGAGAACCCCUUAAAGAAGAUGUGCCUAGGAAAGCAGUAUCUUCAAGCAAAAGAUUAGGAGACCCAGCAAUCAGUCGUUGGACCUGUUGAAAACAACUAGAAAGUUAAAAAUCUACCCUCCUGUAGUCCUUUUGGGGUUCAAAUAGCAUCAUUUAUUCUGUGUUUAUAUAUACAUUUUUUUUUUUGGGACUAUAUACACAUAUAUGUUUAUUUGCAUCUCAUAAUUGCAUUCCAAGAGAAGCAGAAUUACAGGGUCAGAGACUAUGUUAUAGUCUUACCUUAAUGAGCCUAUGCAACUCAAAUACUUGCACUGCAAACAAUCUUUGCUGACUGUAGAAAGUAACAGGGGUUGGAUCAAAAACAUAAUUAUACAACAUAUACCAAAUCAUAUGAAACUUGGCAAAACACAAAACCGAAACCAAUACAAGGAAAAAAAAAGAACUGAACAGAAAUGAAGGAUCAGGCACUUGAAAGAAUCAUUUAUACCAAAACAAUCCUUACUGUGUAAUAUAUUCCAUAUAAAACUCACAUUAUGUAAGAGAUAACAGCCAAAGGACUAGGUGCUUUAAUCACAAAAUAUCUGCUUACCCCAUGAAAAGCACCAUAGCCUAUUAACUCCACAUGACCACACCCCCAAGCUAAUCCUUAGACUUGAUAUUGAUCAGGAGUGCAGGCAAAUAUGACAUUUACCAAACAUGGGAAGAAAACAUCUUAAGGAUGGAUUCAGAAAAUUGCACAUCAGAAAAUAGUUAUAAACAAUGAGGCACAGAUCAGUAAAAUAAUAACAAAAAAUAAUAAUAAUAAUAAUAAUAGUGAAUACAAUAAAAAGGAAAGCUAAAUGCUAAAAACACUAUCUUCAGAGCAAUAAAAACGAAAGCUAAAUGCUAAAACAGAUUCGAAAACAUAGCAACUAUCUGCAAUAUAAAUCAAGAUGUCUGCAAAUCUCCUUUAUUUCACAUAAUUAGAGCUCCAAAUAUGUAAUAUUCAAUCAAAACCAUAUAAGAACUAUACAUUCAGUUGUAUGGAUGUCAUAAAUGAUCCUCGUUACAACAAAGUCGGACAGCAAGCGCAUAAUAGAGCUUUCUAAUUCACAUGUAAAUACUUACAGCUCUUUUCUUAUAGUACAGAAAGAAAGAAAAUACAAAACCUUCAAUAACGAAAAAAGAAUAUGUAAUGAUGAGAAGAAGCCAUAUAUAGGGGAAAUCUCAUAUUCUAUAAAGCAUAUAAAAAGAGUACGCAACCCCAACCCAACAAAAUCUUCCAACACAGGACAUCAAAGCACUACAUAAGAGAUGUAAUCCUCCUCACCACCAUGUCCACCACCAAUUCCACAAUGUCAAAUAUAGUCCAAGAUCCACAAAAUGUAGUCCCAAGGAUAAUCCUUCAUCACUUGUUCCCCUCCUUGCUCCCAGCCCUCAAGUGCCAUGAAGGGAAAAUUUUCCCAGUGGCCAAAAAACCAAAGCAUUACGAAACCGAGACAGGAAUACACCCAAAAGGCAGAUACAAAAGGGCAAUGAAUAAUGAGAUGAUCCGCUGUCUCGGAGGUCGCGUUGCACAAGAUAACUCUAUUAAGAUGUAUGUUUCCCUGCUUUAAGAUGAUCCAUAUCCACUGUUAAAAUGUUAUCGAGGGCCUUUUAACAAAAAGAAAUUCCACUUUAGAAGGGAUCCAGGGACUCUGCACUAUGAAAUAUCACCUCCCUCAAAGUCGCAUUUAAACAAAAUUCAGUCUAUAGUCCUAGUUGUUAUAUUUGAUGGUGUAAACGCUUAUGAAACAAAAAAUCCAAAGUACAAGUGUGGAAAUAUUAAAUAAAACAGAGGUAUUAUGAGACCAAAAUGCUUCACAAGGACAGCAAAACAUGUACUAUAUUUGGAAAAGGGUAAACUUCAAAUUAAGCACAAAGUAACAACUGAAUUGGAGCAGCUAUUGGAGAAAAUAGAGACUUACUUGACGAUUGCUUUUCUUGCCUUCCAGAAAUGUUUCUGACCUAUUAUUCCUACAACGUCAUCGGGAGAGAUAUCCAAGCCAGAUAUAGAAUCCACCAUGGAGGUCUCUGAGACAUCAUCACUUUUGUCUACAUGUCCCAUUUGAGGUGAAAUACACGUUCUAUCUCCACGGUAUUCACUGUCAUUAUCAAGCUCAUUGGGACCACCAGGAUCCUCCCCAGAAUAAGACAGACUUCUUUCCUGGAAAACAGCUCCCUUCUCUACAUCUCUUGUACACUCAACAAGACCAUCACCUUGCCCAGUGAUGUUUGGCUGUGAUCCAGAUCUAGACUCUUGUUGUAAGCAAGCAUCACUCUCAGAUAACCUGCUGAAUCUAGGAACAGGAUAGUCUGCAUACUCUUGAUUUGGAGAUGCACUUACUUCUUCUGCAGGCCCAUCAAUCUUUUGUCUAGUUGAUAUUUUUGUGGCAGAUUUUGCUGAAUGGUCCCUAACCGGGCCACUUACUUUUAUUAGAUCCUCUUCUCUUUCACUUCUCAAUUCUCGUCUCAAAUUGAGAGUAGUUGGGGAGCUUAAUUGUUUUGGAUCCUUCUUGCCCGUAUUUUUUAGUUUCACUGUAUGGCCAGAAUGAGAUGGGCCGAUUGGAGCAAGUUUUUCCUUAUCAAUACCAAUUUGAGUUUUACUAUGACAAAGACCCAUCCUUGAUUGAACAAAUACAGGCACCCUAAAAUCAUCCUCCUCUCCGACUUUCUUUCUUUGGUCGGGUUGUGUCAAGGGCGUGUUCUCAUUUGCUCCAUCAGAUUGACGAGCAUGAAACAUCUCAGCCUGACGACUAGGUGUAGAUGGAUGAACAUGAAGCGGAACAGGCAAAUUUCCUUCAGAACGACUUCCCUGAAAACAUAAAUUGCUCCAGAAAAAUCAGAUAUGAAAUAACCAAUUUUCCCUAUAGAAGCUUCCAAUACUAUUUCUGAAAACACUAUUGAUUUUCCCUUCUUAAAGUGCAGAUAUAGCAAUAUUGGUUAUAUUGGCAUUUUCUUUUCUGGACUGAACUAUAUUGGCAAUAAAACACAACACAUGUACAUAGUAGCAUGCAAAACUACUGGAUAUAGCAUAAAACAGAAUUUGUAGUUAGCUACUACAAAAACAGAAAACAAACCUAGUGAAAUCCAUAACCUAACUAAAGCUUAAAAGGAUAACACUUCAAAACUAAUCCUCAGUAAACCUUAAACGAGAAAGCUAGGCACAAAUUAUGAGUUUACCUGGCUCGAGAAAGCUGAGGGAACCACACUGCUAGUGUUAUUUGGAUUAAGAGGCAUCACCACAGGGUUGAACCUCUGAGAAGGGAUACUGAGCUGUUCAUAGAGCGCCAUCUUAUUCCUUGGAGGUGCUCUUGGCCCUCCUUUAUCUGCAUCAUUCACAUGGAGUCUUGGGAACAUAGGUCCCAUAACCUUUUCUUCGUUCCCUCUCUUCAUUUUCAACACCAACACCAAGUCCAAAAAUCUAUUCUUAUAUUAAAUUCCCAAAACCACCCUCAAAAACUCAAACUUGUUCAAACCCAUGCACCAAAAACAUCUCUUUUGUUGAAAUUGUGCUCGCUAAAACGAGAAUACCAAAAGGGAUCUAACAAAAUCCCAGCUAGCUAAAAGCCUUCUCCUUUCUCAUAAUAGAUCAAAUUCCAGAAAACCCAGAAGCAGACCAGGCUUCUAAAACCUGAACCGACAUAAACAGACUCAGCUUAUCACACCCGAAAAAACCAAGCUCCAAAUUAGGCAAGACCCAGAUGUCAAACACCAAAAGUAAACAGAUUCCCUUUGAAAAAACGAGAGAUUUCUUCACAACCCAGCUGGGAAAAAAGGGUACUUGAGAACUGAAACUGAUGGAGGAACGAACUAAAAGCGUGAAUUGUGGAAAAGAAGGGAUAGGAAUAAAAGAAGAGCCAAGAAAGAGAUUGGGAGUUGAGGGCUGAGAAAGGCUAAGGCUUAUUUUAGGGAUUCCGCAAAGGGAUCGUCUUCUUAGAAAAAGGAAAAGUGAAAAGUGCGGGGGUUGGUUGGGCCCUUGUUUGGGAUAGACCCAGAAGAAGACUAGAACCUCCUCUUAAGAAUAGAAAAAGACCAUAUGUUGCCAUUGCCAACUUGGAAUUAUCUUUUUCUCAAGACUACUCCUUCUGGUAUAAUAUAUUUUUGUCUGAACCAUGAUUAACUCUUUUUUUAACUACUUUAUCUGAACAUAAUUCAACUCAACGAGACGGAUGAGGCCAUUUUAGUUGAGAUCAUAGGAAAAUUGAAUAUACAUGGUACAAACCCAAUUACCUAUGGUAUUUUAUUCUCAAUUCUGAUAAGUGUCUAAUAUUCAUAUUUUUUAUCUCGGUCGCAUAUGAGUUACAUUCGAGUAAGUGAUGUAUGUGCAUGAUUAUAAGUCUUUUUAUUUAUGCAGACGUAUGAUUAUAAGUAAUUGAUGAAAUGAGUCUCACAAUUCACUAAUGUCUAACGAGACACAUGCACAAUGCACAAACGACUGACGAUAACAUUCUCUUAUAUCCUCUCAUUCCUUUUUUCUUUUCUAUUUUGUUAUAAUCUCUAUCUUGCCCUCAAGAUUGGCCAUUUGGGUCAAUUUUGCACUUUUUGAUCCUAGGUGUAGCUGGAACAUAAGGGACACGUGUUAGUAACUUUUUUGGAGAGUGGGAUCUAAAUGGUGAACAGCUUGACAAGCAACACAAAAAGUUUGAUUCGGUAAAAUCUGCAGUCGUCACACACAACCAAAACUAUUUUUAUCUGAUUCCAUAAGCAUUAAACCCAAUACUUUUGCCUUUUAUAAACAUUAAACCCCACAUGAUUUUCUCAGAUAACAUGGACAAUAUCACAAAAUGGUAGUAUAGAAUAUAGAAAAUAUAGCACUUUAGACUAGUUUUGGGUUAGGGGGAAUGUGGUCCACUCCUACUACAAGUAUAGAAGUAUUCAUUUUUCUUUGUCAAACCAAAAAAAGUUUCAAUUUUUCUCAAUUGGUUUGUCGAAAAUGAAAUCGGGUCGGGUUAUCCCCACGGGCUGUCGGCUUUCUCAAACUAAAAAUAAAAAUAUAAUAAAAGAAAUGGACAUAAUAUUUGGUGAAGUGGAGAGAGAACCAGGGUUAGUUGGUUUCAGAGGCAAAAUUAGAUUGGCGUGGAUGGUCCGAUCACAUGGCCUCUUUACCUCCUCCAUAUCAGACACACCUUCCUCUAUCGCCUGACCCAGGUGGGUCCUUUCAAUCAGAUCCAAUUCACGAAAGUUUUCAUUUUUAUUACAAGUUUCGUGUGCCUUUGAUUUUAUGUUCCCUUCGGGGUUUGCUCAUUUGCUUGCUGGGAAAAAUGUGGGAAAGAAAAAAGUAUAUGCAAAAUGUUGAAUCUUUGAUGAUCGAUUUACAUAUAUGCGUGACCCCAAAUGAUUUUGAAGUGGGUUUAUGAAUUUGAACUAAAAAAUAUUUCCUUCUUUUUUUUUCUUUAAUUUUCUGGAGCACCCAUUAACCUGUAAAUUUGAGCUAUUUUGUGUGUAUUGCAGGUGAGAAACCCCUAAAUUCUGAACCCCAGUUGCCGCUGGUUCCUAUUCAUGUAGUCACUCGUGCAUCUCAGCUUCCUGCCGAGUUCCUGGAGCCAUCAGCUGAAAGGCAAUUGGUAAUUGGCUUUGAUUGUGAGGGAGUUGACUUGUGCCGUCAUGGAACACUCUGUAUCAUGCAGGUAUGUAGAGUUUUACUUACUCUGUACUCUUAUGAAUAUUUGUUCCACUUCAAAUUUCGUUCCAAUCAACCUCAUUUAGUAGAUGCGUGCCUAAUCCAAACAAGGACAUAUGGGUUGCUACUAAACUACCACAAACAAAAGAAUUAAUAAAAAAAGAAAAGCAGUUAUUUGCAUCCCAAAUUGGUUGUUGAUUGGUUUCUGAUUGAAUUUCAGCCAUUUGCUUGUAUUCCCUUGCAGCUAAAGAAAAUAACGAGAGUAUCUUACUUAUAGGUCUUCUUUAUUGUGAAUUUUCUGCUACUCAUAUCCCUGGUUCUCGUUCUUGUUUUCUUUCUGUCAGCUUGCAUUUCCAGAUGCUAUAUAUCUGGUUGAUGCCAUUCAGGGAGGGGCUAUGCUUAUCCAAGCCUGUAAGCCUGCACUUGAGUCUAGCUACAUCACCAAAGUUAUUCACGACUGCAAACGAGAUAGCGAGGUCUCUGAUUGGUUUUAUUUGCAUCCCAUCAUGUACCUUCUUGUAAUAUGACAUUUCAUUCCCAUGAUUGAAUUUUUUCCUAUUUUAUAGGCCUUGUAUUUUCAGUUUGGCAUCAAGUUGAACAAUGUUGUAGAUACUCAGGUGAGCAUCCUUUAGCACUGGCUUUAACUUUUCAAUGGAUUGUUUUUUUAAGAGAAACGUUGAUUUAUAAGAUAAUUUUGAAUUCUUUCAAUGGAUUGUUGUUUUAAGAGAAACGUAUAAUGGUAGUUAAAGAAGUAAUAUAAUUGAGAUGGAGAAAAUACUCAUAUGCUAAGUGAUUUGAAAUUUCCCUUUUGGUAUUCAGAUUGCCUAUUCGCUGAUAGAGGAACAAGAAGGGAGGAAAAGAUUGCUGGAUGAUUAUAUAUCAUUUGUGGGCCUCCUUGCUGAUCCACGCUAUUGUGGUAUUAUAUAUUUCGUGGUAUCCAUUUGAAGUUUCUGUUUCUGAUCAUAUUUGAUUAUGCUUUUGGAUUACAUUGAUUUUAUGAAAUUAAAUGAUGCUUUUAUUUUUCUAAGAGUUUCGAAUUAAUAUUAACGGGGAAUUUAUUUGAAAGAUCAUUCUUGAAGUACUGCCUCCAAGUAUUUUACGUUAGCUUAUUCCAUACCAGAAGUUUUCUGGAUGACAAAAUAAAAAUAGACAUGAGGGCAUGGUGCGUUGGAUUAUUAAGUUUUGAUCUUCACAUAUGGCUUCAGUUUUCACCGUAAGAGUUUGAAUGCAGGAAUAUCUUAUCUUGAGAAGGAAGAAGUUCGAUUCCUCCUUAGGCAGGUUAGUGCCAACAUCCUAAGAAUUUUUCUGGAUUUUUUUCGUUUUCUUAUUCUCUAUGUUUAGAUUUUCCAUAUAACUCAGUUUGUUACUAGUCUUCUUAUUGUUAUCUGAUACUAUACUAGAUUUCUAAUAAAAUAUAUUGAAGGUUUAAGUCAGUAUGGUGACUGGGAUGUGAUAAUGAGAUUACAGUCCAAUGAACAAUAGGUUUAGAAUCACUCUACAGUGGUUUUAAACUUGAGGUUAUCAACAGAGCAUUAGCCUUAUAACUUAAAUUUGUCUAUUUUGUUGAUUCAUAUUUGCUUUACACUUAGCAAAGGACUUUAGAUAAAUUUGCUUCUAGACCUGUAGUUUUACCAGUGCAGCCACAGUAUUGUUUGGGACUAGGAUCUUCUGUCAAAUGACAUUUAUUUUAUAUGUAAUGUACAGGACCCCAACUUUUGGACAUACAGACCUUUAUCUGAACAGAUGGUCCGUGCAGCUGCAGAUGAUGUCCGCUUUCUUCUGUAUAUCUAUUACAAGAUGAUGGAGAAAUUGAAUCAACAGUCAUUAUGGUAUCUUGCAGUUCGAGGUGCUCUCUAUUGCAGAUGUUUUUGCAUCAACGACAACAAUUUUGCAGACUGGCCACCUCUCCCCCCUAUUCCAGGUAUCGAAUCCUCCCUCACAACUAUACCAAGACUUCAAAAUGAGAUGAAAUAUUUUGCCUUCAUAUAAAUACGUUCUCAUAUGAAUACAAGCUUAAAGCUAUUAUGUCUGAGGCUGAUGUUCGUAAUUCGGCUCCAAUUGAUUCUGCCACUAAGCAUUAUGUGCAUGUCAUCCAUUAAUGUCCUCAUUGCUAAUUUUUGAUAGAAUUAUGUGCAUGUCAUCCAUUAGUAGAAUCUCUAGCCUCGUAAACUUACUACGGAUACCGUUUUAUGUAUGACAUUAGACCAUAGUGUUUCCCUAAUGUACUUGAGAGCAUACGGUUUUGUUGGAAUGUGCAGCAAAGCACUUUAGAGUGUACAUUUAAUUGAAUACUAAUUGCAUUUCAAAAAAACUUGAAUACUAAUUCAGAUGUUAUUUCUUCUAGCAGAUAACCUAAUAGUGGAUGGCAAUGCUCCGGAGGAAGAAAUCCUUUCAGUGCUUGAUGUUCCUCCAGGAAAGAUGGGACGUGUUAUCGGGAGAAGAGGAGCUUCCAUUUUGUCAAUAAAGGAAUCUUGCAAGUACCAUUCUAUCUCUAUCUCUGCAUGUUUCGGUAGUUUGUGCUCCAUUUUUCUCUCCAUCUCCCCCCACUUAUUAUUACUUCAAUGGUACAAUUUUACAGUGCGGAAAUUCUCAUUGGAGGUGAUAAGGGCCCACCCGAUAAGGUCAGUCCAUUGCAUUUAUAUAACAGUUUCAAAGUAGGCGUAAAAUUAAUCCAAUUUUUUUUUUUUAAAUGAUUUAAUCAUCAAAGCAAAAAACAACUGGAAUUUGGAAAAGUUUCAAAUUCUUUUGUAAAUUUUAUUUGGUUUUGAUGUAGGUGUUCAUCAUAGGACCAGUGAAGCAAGUGAGGAAAGCAGAAGCCAUGUUAAGGGGGAAGAUGAUGGACGUGUACUACUAGAAACAUAUCAUGUUGUCGUCUUCGCCCCUUUCUUUAAAAAUAAAUAAAUAAAAGAAUUCUAAGAAAUUGGGCAUCUUUUCUUUUUCUUCUUUCCGUGCUCUUUUUCUUUUCUUUCGGUACAGAACAGAACCCGUCAUCUAUUCAAAUUGUUCUGUUUAUGAAACGACAUCCUGUUGUGCAAAUAAAUUAUAUAAUUGUCAAACAAAAGGACAAAGUAAAAAAAAAAAAAAAAAAAUCUGUCGUGGCUGAGACAUUGGCAAAAUUAAACGUUUAAUAUACAAAUAAAAUCAUAGUCAUCUAUUGAUAUCUAGAAUAAUUUUUUUGGACCGACUAUGUUAAUUGCCACCACAUUGUUCAAAAGACUGGAGGAUUAAUUUAAUCACGAAGCUGUUUGCAAUCCACUGGAAUUUAUAAAUAAAAAGUGUCGCAAUCAUCUUCACUCACGAUCAAUACAAUCCUCAAUACCACAAUAUCCAUUGACGGAUGUAUGAACAAACUAAGCACACCAAAAGAAAGGACUUUCUCUUCAAUAUUUUGGCCGAGUAGGCAAAAGAAUAUGUAGACGGAAAAAAUGGCAGAAAUAACAAAAUUACUUUUGGAAACCACCGUAUUGGUAUUGUUGGCCGCCGCCACCACUGAGACUUGAGAAGAUGUCAUCGCCUCCCAUUCCCGGCGAUGAUGGGAACCCAGAUUUUCCAAGACCAGUCCCGGAACCCAUUGCUCUACCCAUGUAAUACGAAGUUGGGGGCCCUUUCUCCCUUUCAUCUGAUCCGUCAGUCAAUCCACCCACAAUCCCUACAUCCGCCAGAUUUACCUUCUUGGCUGCAAGUACAUGAAGUGAAGAGGGGAUUACAACAGCAGCCUAAACAUGUGAUUCGAAAUGUCAACAUACAUAGUCUCUGCUCAAACAAUUAUAUAGGCAUACAUUACCCGGACAAUUUUUCUAAAUCUCAACUCACACCUUGAACAUUAAGCAAAAUUUACUUUCAUGUACACACAUAUAAAUUGUGCUCAUGAAAGGCAAAAUGCUAGUUGAAAUGGUUGAACUUACGAGCAGAUAUAUUAAGAUCAAUCAGUCCACGGCUAAGUGAGUCGGCCCAAAUGCCAGAUUUCACCUGGAAAUCCUUCUUGGGUGGACCAUUCAGGUCUGCUGAAGAUUUUUUACCCAAAUUAGUGUCGCUGCCAUCAUUGACAGAACUUUGGGAAGGUUCUGAAGAUGUUGAAUCAGACUGAGAGGUGAAGGCCCCAAAAAUAUCAGAUUCACCAAAAUUGUGAAGUGGAACAGUGGCAAAGGGAUCAACAAUG